GAGGACUUUCCGGGAGGUCACCCAUCCUAGUACUACUCUCGUCCAAGGACCCUUAACUGCGAAGUUCUGAUGGGAUCCGUUGCAUUAGUGCUGGUAUGAUCGCAUGUGUUACUACAUGCAAUGUAAUCGUAUCUAUUCUUUUUUAAAGACUUUAUGAUCCAUUUGCCGUGGGUCCCACCAGCUAUGUAGGAAAACCCAAUCUUCUUUAUAAGAGCUUUGAUACAUGCAAAAUAUUGGAAAACAAUGUCCGAACAUAUAAUUUUCCCCCAUAAUAUAGCAAAGAUCACGAAAAGGCCCGAAAAAGUACAUUUAGUUCAAAAUUUGGAGUAGAAAAAAAGGCAGUAAAAGAAUUCCAUUUUCCUUCCUCAGUGAUCGGAGAGCUCUCUUUGGACUUUCCGAAAAGGUAUCACAUGCCAAGUUUGGCCUCACGGUCUAAAAGUUAUAGAGUCAUACAUUUUUAACAAAACAAAAUAGAGAAAAACGGAAAAAAGAGGGAUGCAACACGAGGACUUUCCGGGAGGUCACCCAUCCUAGUACUACUUUCGCCCAAGCACCCUUAACUGCGGAGUUCUGAUGGGAUCCGGUGCAUUAGUGCUGGUAUGAUCGCAUGUGUUACUACAUGCAAUGUAAUCAUAUUUCUUGUUAUUUAAAGAUUUUAUGAUCCAUUUGCCGUGGGUCCCACCAGCUAUGUAGGAAUACCUUAUCUUCUUUAUAGGAGCUUUGAUACAUGCAAAAUAUUGGAAAACAAUAUCCGAACAUAUAUCUUUCCCCCCGUAAUAUAGCAAAGAUCGCGAAAAGGCCCGAAAAAGUACAUUUAGGUCAAAAUUUGGAGUAGAAAAAAAAAGCAAUAGAAGAAUUCCAUUUUCCUUCCUCAGUCAUCGGAGAGCUCUCUUUGGGCUUUCCGAAAAGGUAUCACAUGCCAAGUUUGGCCUCAUGGUCUAAAAGUUAUAGAGCCAUACAUUUUUAACAAAACAAAAUAGAGAAAAACCAAAAAAAGAGAGGGAUGCAACACGAGGACUUUCCGGGAGGUCACCCAUCCUAGUACUACUCUCGCCCAAGCACCCUUAACUGCGGAGUUCUGAUGGGAUCCAGUGCAUUAGUGCUGGUAUGAUCGCAUGUGUUACUACAUGCAAUGUAAUCGUAUCUAUUCUUUUUUAAAGAUUAUAUGAUCCAUUUGCCGUGGGUCCCACCAGCUAUGUAGGAAUACCCUAUCUUCUUUAUAAGAGCUUUGAUACAUGCAAAAUAUUGGAAAACAAUGUCCGAACAUAUAAUUUUCCCCCCGUAAUAUAGCAAAGAUCACGAAAAGGCCCAAAAAAGUACAUUUAGGUCAAAAUUUGGAGUUGAAAAAAAACAAAAAGAAGAAUUCCAUUUUCCUUCCUCAUUCAUUGGAGAGCUCUCUUUGGGCUUUCCGAAAAGGUAUCACAUGCCAUGUUUAGCCUCACGGUCUAAAAGUUAUAGAGUCAUACAUUUUUAACAAAACAAAAUAGAGAAAAACCAAAAAAACGAGGGAUGCAACACGAGGACUUUCUGGGAAGUCACCUAUCCUAGUACUACUCUCGCCCAAGCACCCUUAACUGCGGAGUUCUGAUGGGAUCCGGUGCAUUAGUGCUGGUAUGAUUGCAUGUGUUACUACAUGCAAUGUAAUCGUAUCUAAUGCUUUUAAAGACUUUAUGAUCCAUUUGCCGUGGGUCCCCACAAGCUAAGUAGGAAUACCCUAUCUUCUUUAUAAGAGUUUUCAUACAUGCAAAAUAUGGAAAACAAUGUCCGAACAUAUAUUUUCCCCCCGUAAUAUAGCAAAGAUCACGAAAAGGCCCACAAAAAGUACAUUUAGUUCAAAAUUUGGAGUAGAAAAAAAAACAAUAGAAAAGUUCCAAUUUCNNNNNNNNNNNNNNNNNNNNNNNNNNNNNNNNNNNNNNNNNNNNNNNNNNGGGUCCCACCAGCUACGUAGGAAUACCCUAUCUUGUUUAUAAGAGCUUUGAUACAUGCAAAAUAUUCGAAAACAAUGUCCGAACAUAUAAUUUUCGUCCCGUAAUAUAGCAAAGAUCACAAAAAGGCCAGAAAGAGUACAUUUACGUCAAAAUUUGGAUAGAAAAAAAACGAAUAGAAGAAUUCCAUUUUGACUUCCUCAUUCAUCGGAAAGCUCUCUUUGGGCUUUCCGAAAAGGUAUCACAUGCCAAGUUUGGAAUCACGGUUUAAAAGUUAUAGAGUCAUACAUUUUUAACAAAAAAUAAAGAGAAAACCCGAAAAAUGAGGGAUGCAACACGAGGACUUUUCGGGAGGUCACCCAUCGUAGUACUACUCUCGCCCAAGCACGCUUAACUGUAGAGUUCUGAUGGGAUCCGGUUCAUUAUUGCUGGUAUGAUCGCAUCCGUUACUACAUGCAAUGCAAUCGUAUCUAUUCUUUUUUGAAGACUUUAUGAUCCAUUUGCCGUGGGUCCCACCAGCUAUGUUGGAAUACCCUAUCUUGUUUAUAAGAGCUUUGUUACAUGCAAAAUAUUCGAAAACAAUGUCCGAACAUAUAAUAUUUGCCCCGUAAUAUAGCAAAGAUCACGAAAAGGCCAGAAAACCUAUAUUAAGUUCAAAAUUUGGAGUAGAAAAAAACCAAUAGAAGAAUUCCAUUUUCCUUCCUCACUCAUCGGAGAGCUCUCUUUGGGGCUUUCCGAAAAGGUAUCACAUGCAAAGUUUGGCCUCACAGGCUAAAAGUUAUAGAGUCGUACAUUUUUAACAAAAAAAAAAAGAGAAAAGCCGAAAAAAAGAAGGAUGCAACACAAGGACUUUCCGGGAGGUCAGCCAUCCUAAUAUUACUCUCGCCCAAGCACGCUUAACUGUAGAGUUCUGAUGGGAUCCGGUGCAUUAGUGCUGGUAUGAUCGCAUCUGUUACUACAUGCAAUGCAAUCGUAUCUAUUCUUUUUUUAAGACUUUAUGAUCCAUUUACCGUGGGUCCCACCAGCUACGUAGGAAUAACCUAUCUUAUUUAUAAGAGCUUUGAUACAUGCAAAAUAUUCGAAAACAAUGUCCGAACAUAUAAUUUUCGUCCCGUAAUAUAGCAAAGAUCACAAAAAGGCCAGAAAGAGUACAUUAAGGUCAAAAUUUUGGAGUAGAAAAAAAAACCCUUCCUCAUUCAUUAAAGAGCUCUCUUUGGCAUUUCCGAAAAGGUGUCACAUGCCAAGUUCGGCCUCACGGUCUAAAAGUUAUAGAGUCAUACAUUGUUAACAAAAAAAAAGAGAAAAACCGAUUAAAAGAGUUAUGCAACACAAGGACUUUCCUGGAGGUCACCCGUCCUAGUACUACUCUCGCCCAAGCACGCUUAAAUGCGGAGUUCUGAUGGGAUCCGGUCCAUGAGUGGUGGUAUGAUCACAUCCGUUACUACAUGCAAUGCAAUCGUAUCUAUUAUUUUUUGAAGACUUUAUGAUCCAUUUGCCGUGGGUCCCACCAGCUAUGUAGGAAUACCCUAUCUUGUUUAUAAGAGCUUUGAUACAUCCAAAAUAUUCGAAAACAAUGUUGGAACGUAUAAGUUUCGCUCAGUAAUAUAGCAAAGAUCACGAAAAGGCCACAAAAAGUACAUUAAGGUAAAAAUUUAGAGUAGGAAAAAAAAACAAUAGGAGAAUUCCAUGUUCCUUCCUCAAUCAUCGGAGAGCUCUCUUUGGGCUUUCCAAAAAGGUAUCACAUGCCAAGUUUGGCCUCACGGUCUAAAAGUUAUAGAGUCAUACAUUUUUAACAAAAAAAAAUAGAGAAAAACCAAAAAAAAGAGGGAUGCAACACGAAGACUUUCCUGGAGGUCACCCAUCCUAGUACUACUCUCGCCCAAGCACGCUUAACUGCGGUGUUCUGAUAGGAUCAAGUGCAUUAGUGCUGGUAGGAUCGCAUUCGUUACUACAUGCAAUGCAAUUAUAUAUAUUCUUUUUUGAAGACUUUAUGAUCCAUUUGCGGUAGGUCCCACCAGCUAUGUAGGAAUACCCUAUCUUGCUUAUAAGAGUUUUGAUACAUGCAAAAAUAUUCGAAAACAAUGUCCGAACAUAUAAUUUUUGUCCCGUAAUAUAACAAAGAUCACGAAAAGGCCAAAAAUAGUACAUUUCGGUCAAAACAUGGAGCAGAAAAAAAACCCCUUCCUCAUUCAUCGGAGAGCUCUCAUUGGGCUUUCCGAAAAGAUAUCACAUGCAAAGUUUGGCCUCACGGUUUAAAAGUUAUAGAGUCAAAUAUUUUUAACAAAAAAAAGAGAGAAAAACCGAAAACAAAGAGGGAUGCAACACGAGGACUUUCCGGAAGGUCACCCAUCCUAGUACUACUCUAGCCCAAGCACGCUUAACCGCGGAGUUCUGAUAGGAUCCGGUGCAUUAGUGCUGGUAUGAUCGCAUCAGUUACUACAUGCAAUGCAAUCAUAUAUAUUUUUUUUGAAGACUUUAUGAUCCAUUUGCCGUGGGUCCCACCAGCUAUGUAGGAAUACCUAUCUUGUUUAUAAGAGCUUUGAUACAUGCAAAAUAUUUGAAAACAAUGUCCGAACGUAUAAUCUUCGUCCCGUAAUAUAGCAAAGAUCACGAAAAGGCCAGAAAAAGUACAUUAAGGUCAAAAUUUUGACUAGAAAAAAAAAACAAUAGAAAAAUUCCAUUGUCCUUCCUCAUUCAUCGGAGAGUUCUCUUUGGGCUUUCCGAAAAGGUAUCACAUGCCAAGUUUGGCCUCACGGUCUAAAACUUAUAGAAUCAUACAUUCUUAACAAAAAAAAAAAAAAAACCGAAAAAAAGAAGAAUGCAACACAAGGACUUUCCAGGAGGUCAACCAUCCUAGUAGUACUCUCGCCCAAUCACGCUUAACUGCAGAGUUCUGAUGGGAUCCGGUGCAUUAGUGCUGGUAUGAUCGCAUCUGUUACUACAUGCAAUGCAAUCGUAUCUAUUCUUUUUUGAAGACUUUAUGAUCCAUUUGCCGUGGGUCCCACCAGCUAUGUAGGAAUACCUUAUCUUGUUUAUAAGAGCUUUGAUACAUGCAAAAUAUUCGAAUACAAUGUCUGAACGUAUAACUUUCGCCCCGUAAUAUAGCGAAGAUCACGAAAAGGCCCGAAAAAGUACAUUAAGGUCAAAAUUUCGAGUAGAAAUAAAAACCAAUAGAAGAAUUCCAAUUUCCUUCCUCAUUCAUUGGAGAGCUCUCUUUGGGCUUUCCGAAAAGGUAUCACAUGCGAAGUUUCGCCUCACAAUCUAAAAGUUAUAUAGUCAUACAUUUUUAACAAAACAAAUAGAGAAAAACCGAAAAAAAGAAUGAUACAACACAACGACUUUCCCGGAGGUCACCCAUCCUAAUACUAUUCUCGCCCAAGCAAGCUUAACUGCAGAGUAUUGAUGGGAUCUGAUGCAUAAGUGCUGAUAUGAUCGCAUCCGUUACUACAUGCAAUGCAAUCGUAUCUAUUCGUUUUUGAAGACUUUAUGAUCCAUUUGCCGUGGGUCCCACCAGCUAUGUAGGAAUACCCUAUCUUGUUUAUAAGAGCUUUGAUACAUGCAAAAAAUUGGAAAACAAUGUCUGAACAUAUAAUUUUUGUCCCGUAAUAUAGCAAAGAUCACGAAAAGGAUAGAAAAAGUACAUUAAGGUCAAAAUUUUGAGUAGAAAAAAAAUCAAUAGAAGGAUUCCAAUUUCCUUGCUCAUUCAUAUAGCUCUCUUUGGGCUUUCCGAAAAGGUAUCACAUGCAAAGUUUGGCCUCGCGGUCUAAAAGUUAUAGAGGUAUACUUUUUUACCAAAAAAAAAGAAGAAAAAAACCAAAAAAAAGAGGGAUUCAACACGAGGACUUUCUGGGAGGUCACUCAUCCUAUUACUACUCUCGCCCAAGCACGCUUAACUGCGGAGUUCUGAUAGGAUCCAGUGCAUUAGUGCGGGUAUGAUCACAUCCGUUACUACAUGCAAUGCAAUCGUAUAUAUUUUUUUUGAAGACUUUAUGAUCCAUUUGCCGUGGGUCUCACCAGCUAUAUAGGAAUACCCUAUCUUGUUUAUAAGAGCUUUGAUACAUGCAAAAUAUUUGAAAACAAUGUCCGAACGUAUAAUCUUCGUCCCGUAAUAUAGCAAAGAUCACUAAAAGGCUAGAAAAAGUACAUUAAGAUCAAAAUUUUGAGUAGAAAAAUAAACAAUAGAAAAAUUCCAUUGUCCUUCCUCAUUCAUCGGAGAGUUCUCUUUGGGCUUUCCGAAAAGGUAUCACAUGCCAAGUUUGGCCUCACGGUCUAAAACUUAUAGAAUCAUACAUUCUUAACAAAAAAAAAAGAGAAAAACCGAAAAAAAGAAGAAUUUAACACAAGGACUUUCCAGGAGGUCAACCAUCCUAGUAGUACUCUCGCCCAAUCACGCUUAACUGCAGAGUUCUGAUGGGAUCCGGUGCAUUAGUGCUGGUAUGAUCGCAUCUGUUACUACAUGCAAUGCAAUCGUAUCUGUUACUACAUGCAAUGCAAUCGUAUCUGUUACUACAUGCAAUGCAAUCGUAUCUAUUCUUUUUUGAAGACUUUAUGAUCCAUUUGCCGUGGGUCCCACCAGCUAUGUAGGAAUACCCUAUCUUGUUUAUAAGAGCUUUGAUACAUGCAAAAUAUUCGAAUACAAUGUCUAAACGUAUAAGUUUCGCCCCGUAAUAUAGCGAAGAUCACGAAAAGGCCCGAAAAAGUACAUUAAGGUCAAAAUUUGGAGUAGAAAUAAAAACCAAUAGAAGAAUUCCAAUUUCCUUCCUCAUUCAUUGGAGAGCUCUCUUUGGGCUUUCCGAAAAGGUAUCACAUGCGAAGUUUGGCCUCACAAUCUAAAAGUUAUAUAGUCAUACAUUUUUAACAAAACAAAUAGAGAAAAACCGAAAAAAAGAAUGAUACAACACAAGGACUUUCCGGGAGGUCACCCAUCCUAAUACUAUUCUCGCCCAAGCAAGCUUAACUGCAGAGUAUUGAUGGGAUCUGAUGCAUAAGGGCUGAUAUGAUCGCAUCCGUUACUACAAGCAAUGCAAUCGUAUCUAUUCGUUUUUGAAGACUUUAUGAUCCAUUUGCCGUGGGUCCCACCAGCUAUGUAGGAAUACCCUAUCUUGUUUAUAAGAGCUUUGAUACAUGCAAAAAAUUGGAAAACAAUGUCUGAACAUAUAAUUUUUGUCCCGUAAUAUAGCAAAGAUCACGAAAAGGAUAGAAAAAGUACAUUAAGGUCAAAAUUUUGAGUAGAAAAAAAAUCAAUAGAAGGAUUCCAAUUUCCUUCCUCAUUCAUAUAGCUCUCUUUGGGCUUUCCGAAAAGGUAUCACAUGCAAAGUUUGGCCCCGCGGUCUAAAAGUUAUAGAGGUAUACAUUUUUACCAAAAAAAAGAGGGAUUCAACACGAGGACUUUUUUNNNNNNNNNNNNNNNNNNNNNNNNNNNNNNNNNNNNNNNNNNNNNNNNNNUGCUGGUAUGAUCGCAUCAGUUACUACAUGCAAUGCAAUCAUAUAUAUUCUUUUUUGAAGACUUUAUGAUCCAUUUGCCGUAGGUCCCACCAGCUAUGUAGGAAUACCCUAUCUUGUUUAUAAGAGCUUUGAUACAUGCAAAAUAUUCGAAAACAAUGUCCGAACAUAUAAUUUUUGUCCCGUAAUAUAGCAAAGAUCACGAAAAGGCCAGAAAAAAUACAUUUCGGUCAAAAUUUGGAGUAGAAAAAAAGCCCUUCCUCAUUCAUUGGACAGCUCUCUUUGGGCUUUCCGAAAAGGUAUCACAUGCCAAGUUUGGCCUCACGGUCUAAACCUUAUAGACUCAUACAUUUUUCACAAAAAAAAGAAGAGAAAAACCAAAAAAAAGAGUGAUUAAACACGAGGAUUUUCCUGGAGGUCACCCAUCCUAGUACUACUCUCGCCCAAGCACGCUUAACUGCGAAGGUCUGAUGGGAUAUGGUGCAUUAGUGCUGGUAUGAUCGCAUCUGUUACUACAUGCAAUGCAAUCGUAUCUAUUCUUUUUUGAAGAUUUGAUGAUUCAUUUACCGUGGGUCCCACCAGCUAUGUAGGAAUAACCUAUCUUAUUUAUAAAAGCUUUGAUACAUGCAAAAUAUUCGAAAACAAUGUCCGAACAUAUAAUGUUCGCCCCAAAAUAUAGCAAAGACCACAAAAAUGCCAUAAAAAGUACAUUAAGGUCAAAAUUUGGAGUAGGAAAAAAAUCAAUAGGAGAAUUCCAUUUUCCUUCCCUCAUUCAUCAGAGAGCUCUCUUUGGGCAUUCCAAAAAGGUAUCACAUGCCAAGUUUGGCCUCACGGUCUAAAAGUUAUAGAGUAUUACAUUUUUAACAAAAAAAAAAGGGAAAAACCGAAAAAGAGGGAUGCAACACGAAGACUUUUCUGGAGGUCACCCAUUCUAGUACUACUCUCCCCCAAGCACGCUUAACUGUGGUGUUCUAAUAGGAUCAAGUGCAUUAGUGCUGGUAUGAUCGCAUCAGUUACUACAUGCAAUGCAAUCAUAUAUAUUCUUUUUUGAAGACUUUAUGAUCCAUUUGCCGUAGGUCCCACCAGCUAUGUAGGAAUACCCUAUCUUGUUUAUAAGAGCUUUGAUACAUGCAAAAUAUUCGAAAACAAUGUCCGAACAUAUAAUUUUUGUCCCGUAAUAUAGCAAAGAUCACGAAAAGGCCAGAAAAAAUACAUUUCGGUCAAAAUUUGGAGUAGAAAAAAAGCCCUUCCUCAUUCAUUGGACAGCUCUCUUUGGGCUUUCCGAAAAGGUAUCAUAUGCCAAGUUUGGCCUCACGGUCUAAACCUUAUAGACUCAUACAUUUUUCACAAAAAAAAGAAGAGAAAAACCAAAAAAAAGAGUGAUUAAACACGAGGACUUUCCUGGAGGUCAUCCAUCCUAGUACUACUCUCGCCCAAGCACGCUUAAUUGCGAAGUUCUGAUGGGAUCUGGUGCAUUAGUGCUGGUAUGAUCGCAUAUGUUACUACAUGCAAUGCAAUCGUAUCUAUUCUUUUUUGAAGAUUUUAUGAUUCAUUUACCGUGGGUACCACCAGCUAUGUAGGAAUAACCUAUCUUAUUUAUAAGAGCUUUGAUACAUGCAAAAUAUUCGAAAACAAUGUCCGAACAUAUAAUUUUUGUCCCGUAAUAUAGCAAAGAUCACGAAAAGGCCAGAAAAAAUACAUUUCGGUCAAAAUUUGGAGUAGAAAAAAACCCUUCCUCAUUCAUUGGACAGCUCUGUUUGAGCUUUCCGAAAAGGUAUCACAUGCCAAGUUUGGCCUCACGGUCUAAAAGUUAUAGAGUCAUACAUUUUUCACAAAAAAAAGAAGAGAAAAACCAAAAAAAAGAGUGAUGAAACACGAGGACUUUCCUGGAGGUCACCCAUCCUAGUACUACUCUCGCCCAAGCACGCGUAACUGCGAAGUUCUGAUGGGAUCUGGUGCAUUAGUGCUGGUAUGAUCGCAUCUGUUACUACAUGCAAUGCAAUCGUAUCUAUUCUUUUUUGAAGAUUUUAUGAUUCAUUUACCGUGGGUCCCACCAGCUAUGUAGGAAUAACCUAUCUUAUUUAUAAGAGCUUUGAUACAUGCAAAAUAUUGGAAAACAAUGUCCGAACAUAUAAUGUUCGCCCCAAAAUAUAGCAAAGACAACAAAAAUCCCAUAAAAAGUACAUUAAGGUCAAAAUUUGGAGUAGGAAAAAAAUCAAUAAGAGAAUUCCAUUUUCCUUCCCUCAUUCAUCGGAGAGGUCUCUUUGGGCAUUCCAAAAAGGUAUCACAUGCCAAGUUUGGCCUCACGGUCUAAAAGUUAUAGAGUAAUACAUUUUUAACAAAAAAAAAAGAGAAAAACCGAAAAAAAGAGGGAUGCAACACGAAGACUUUUCUGGAGGUCACCCAUCCUAGUACUACUCUCCCAAAGCACGCUUAACUGUGGUGUUCUGAUAGGAUCAAGUGCAUUAGUGCGGGUAUGAUCGCAUCAGUUACUACAUGCAAUGCAAUCAUAUAUAUUCUUUUUUGAAGACUUUAUGAUCCAUUUGCCGUAGGUCCCACCAGCUAUGUAGGAAUACCCUAUCUUGUUUAUAAGAGCUUUGAUACAUGCAAAAUAUUCGAAAACAAUGUCCGAACAUAUAAUUUUUGUCCCGUAAUAUAGCAAAGAUCACGAAAAGGCCAGGAAAAAUACAUUUCGGUCAAAAUUUGGAGUAGAAAAAAAACCCUUCCUCAUUCAUUGGACAGCUCUCUUUGGGCUUUCCGAAAAGGUAUCACAUGCCAAGUUUGGCCUCACGGUCUAAAAGUUAUAGAUUCAUACAUUUUUCACAAAAAAAAGAAGAGAAAAACCAAAAAAAAGAGGGAUGAAACACGAGGACUUUCCCAGAGGUCACCCAUCCUAGUACUACUCUCGCCCAAGCACGCUUAACUGCGAAGUUCUGAUGGGAUCUGGUGCAUUAGUGCUGGUAUGAUCGCAUCUGUUACUACAUGCAAUGCAAUCGUAUCUAUUCUUUUUUGAAGAUUUUAUGAUUCAUUUACCGUGGGUCCCACCAGCUAUGUAGGAAAACCUAUCUUAUUUAUAAGAUCUUUGAUACAUGCAAAAUAUUGGAAAACAAUGUCCGAACAUAUAAUGUUCGCCCCAAAAUAUAGCGAAGACCACAAAAAUGCCAUAAAAAGUACAUUAAGGUCAAAAUUUGGAGUAGGAAAAAAAUCAAUAGGAGAAUUCCAUUUUCCUUCCCUCAUUCAUCGGAGAGCUCUCUUUGGGCAUUCCAAAAAGGUAUCACAUGCCAAGUUUGGCCUCACGGUCUAAAAGUUAUAGAAUAUUACAUUUUUAACAAAAAAAAAGAGAAAAACCAAAAAAAAGAGGGAUGCAACACGAGGACUUUUCUGGAGGUCACCCAUCCUACUACUACUCUCGCCCAAGCACACUUAACUGCGGUGUUCUGAUAGGAUCAAGUGCAUUAGUGCUGGUAUGAUCGCAUCAGUUACUACAUGCAAUGCAAUCAUAUAUAUUCUUUUUUGAAGACUUUAUGAUCCAUUUGCCGUAGGUCCCACCAGCUAUGUAGGAAUACCCUAUCUUGUUUAUAAGAGCUUUGAUACAUGCAAAAUAUUCGAAAACAAUGUCCGAACAUAUAAUUUUUGUCCCGUAAUAUAGCAAAGAUCACGAAAAGGCCAGAAAAAAUACAUUUUGGUCAAAAUUUGGAGUAGAAAAAAAGCCCUUCCUCAUUCAUUGGACAGCUCUCUUUGGGCUUUCCGAAAAGGUAUCACAUGCCAAGUUUGGCCUCACGGUCUAAACCUUAUAGACUCAUACAUUUUUCACAAAAAAAAGAAGAGAAAAACCAAAAAAAAGAGUGAUUAAACACGAGGAUUUUCCUGGAGGUCACCCAUCCUAGUACUACUCUCGCCCAAGCACGCUUAACUGCGAAGGUCUGAUGGGAUAUGGUGCAUUAGUGCUGGUAUGAUCGCAUCUGUUACUACAUGCAAUGCAAUCGUAUCUAUUCUUUUUUGAAGAUUUGAUGAUUCAUUUACCGUGGGUCCCACCAGCUAUGUAGGAAUAACCUAUCUUAUUUAUAAAAGCUUUGAUACAUGCAAAAUAUUCGAAAACAAUGUCCGAACAUAUAAUGUUCGCCCCAAAAUAUAGCAAAGAUCACAAAAAUGCCAUAAAAAGUACAUUAAGGUCAAAAUUUGGAGUAGGAAAAAAAUCAAUAGGAGAAUUCCAUUUUCCUUCCCUCAUUCAUCGGAGAGCUCUCUUUGGGCAUUCCAAAAAGGUAUCACAUGCCAAGUUUGGCCUCACGGUCUAAAAGUUAUAGAGUAUUACAUUUUUAACAAAAAAAAAAGGGAAAAACCGAAAAAGAGGGAUGCAACACGAAGACUUUUCUGGAGGUCACCCAUCCUAGUACUACUCUCCCCCAAGCACGCUUAACUGUGGUGUUCUAAUAGGAUCAUGUGCAUUAGUGCUGGUAUGAUCGCAUCAGUUACUACAUGCAAUGCAAUCAUAUAUAUUCUUUUUUGAAGACUUUAUGAUCCAUUUGCCGUAGGUCCCACCAGCUAUGUAGGAAUACCCUAUCUUGUUUAUAAGAGCUUUGAUACAUGCAAAAUAUUCGAAAACAAUGUCCGAACAUAUAAUUUUUGUCCCGUAAUAUAGCAAAGAUCACGAAAAGGCCAGAAAAAAUACAUUUCGGUCAAAAUUUGGAGUAGAAAAAAAGCCCUUCCUCAUUCAUUGGACAGCUCUCUUUGGGCUUUCCGAAAAGGUAUCAUAUGCCAAGUUUGGCCUCACGGUCUAAACCUUAUAGACUCAUACAUUUUUCACAAAAAAAAGAAGAGAAAAACCAAAAAAAAGAGUGAUUAAACACGAGGACUUUCUUGGAGGUCAUCCAUCCUAGUACUACUCUCGCCCAAGCACGCUUAACUGCGAAGUUCUGAUGGGAUCUGGUGCAUUAGUGCUGGUAUGAUCGCAUCUGUUACUACAUGCAAUGCAAUCGUAUCUAUUCUUUUUUGAAGAUUUUAUGAUUCAUUUACCGUGGGUACCACCAGCUAUGUAGGAAUAACCUAUCUUAUUUAUAAGAGCUUUGAUACAUGCAAAAUAUUCGAAAACAAUGUCCGAACAUAUAAUUUUUGUCCCGUAAUAUAGCAAAGAUCACGAAAAGGCCAGAAAAAAUACAUUUUGGUCAAAAUUUGGAGUAGAAAAAAACCCUUCCUCAUUCAUUGGACAGCUCUGUUUGAGCUUUCCGAAAAGGUAUCACAUGCCAAGUUUGGCCUCACGGUCUAAAAGUUAUAGAGUCAUACAUUUUUCACAAAAAAAAAGAAGAGAAAAACCAAAAAAAAGAGUGAUGAAACACGAGGACUUUCCUGGAGGUCACCCAUCCUAGUACUACUCUCGCCCAAGCACGCGUAACUACGAAGUUCUGAUGGGAUCUGGUGCAUUAGUGCUGGUAUGAUCGCAUCUGUUACUACAUGCAAUGCAAUCGUAUCUAUUCUUUUUUGAAGAUUUUAUGAUUCAUUUACCGUGGGUCCCACCAGCUAUGUAGGAAUAACCUAUCUUAUUUAUAAGAGCUUUGAUACAUGCAAAAUAUUGGAAAACAAUGUCCGAACAUAUAAUGUUCGCCCCAAAAUAUAGCAAAGACAACAAAAAUGCCAUAAAAAGUACAUUAAGGUCAAAAUUUGGAGUAGGAAAAAAAUCAAUAAGAGAAUUCCAUUUUCCUUCCCUCAUUCAUCGGAGAGCUCUCUUUGGGCAUUCCAAAAAGGUAUCACAUGCCAAGUUUGGCCUCACGGUCUAAAAGUUAUAGAGUAGUACAUUUUUAACAAAAAAAAAAGAGAGAAACCGAAAAAAAGAGGGAUGCAACACGAAGACUUUUCUGGAGGUCACCCAUCCUAGUACUACUCUCCCAAAGCACGCUUAACUGUGGUGUUCUGAUAGGAUCAAGUGCAUUAGUGCGGGUAUGAUCGCAUCAGUUACUACAUGCAAUGCAAUCAUAUAUAUUCUUUUUUGAAGACUUUAUGAUCCAUUUGCCGUAGGUCCCACCAGCUAUGUAGGAAUACCCUAUCUUGUUUAUAAGAGCUUUGAUACAUGCAAAAUAUUCGAAAACAAUGUCCGAACAUAUAAUUUUUGUCCCGUAAUAUAGCAAAGAUCACGAAAAGGCCAGGAAAAAUACAUUUCGGUCAAAAUUUGGAGUAGAAAAAAAACCCUUCCUCAUUCAUUGGACAGCUCUCUUUGGGCUUUCCGAAAAGGUAUCACAUGCCAAGUUUGGCCUCACGGUCUAAAAGUUAUAGAUUCAUACAUUUUUCACAAAAAAAAGAAGAGAAAAACCAAAAAAAAGAGGGAUGAAACACGAGGACUUUCCCAGAGGUCACCCAUCCUAGUACUACUCUCGCCCAAGCACGCUUAACUGCGAAGUUCUGAUGGGAUCUGGUGCAUUAGUGCUGGUAUGAUCGCAUCUGUUACUACAUGCAAUGCAAUCGUAUCUAUUCUUUUUUGAAGAUUUUAUGAUUCAUUUACCGUGGGUCCCACCAGCUAUGUAGGAAAACCUAUCUUAUUUAUAAGAUCUUUGAUACAUGCAAAAUAUUGGAAAACAAUGUCCGAACAUAUAAUGUUCGCCCCAAAAUAUAGCGAAGACCACAAAAAUGCCAUAAAAAGUACAUUAAGGUCAAAAUUUGGAGUAGGAAAAAAAUCAAUAGGAGAAUUCCAUUUUCCUUCCCUCAUUCAUCGGAGAGCUCUCUUUGGGCAUUCCAAAAAGGUAUCACAUGCCAAGUUUGGCCUCACGGUCUAAAAGUUAUAGAAUAUUACAUUUUUAACAAAAAAAAAGAGAAAAACCGAAAAAAAGAGGGAUGCAACACGAAGACUUUUCUGGAGGUCACCCAUCCUACUACUACUCUCGCCCAAGCACACUUAACUGCGGUGUUCUGAUAGGAUCAAGUGCAUUAGUGCUGGUAUGAUCGCAUCAGUUACUACAUGCAAUACAAUCAUAUAUAUUCUUUUUUGAAGACUUUAUGAUCCAUUUGCCGUAGGUCCCACCAGCUAUGUAGGAAUACCUUAUCUUGUUUAUAAGAGCUUUGAUACAUGCAAAAUAUUCGAAAACAAUGUCCGAACAUAUAAUUUUUGUCCCGUAAUAUAGCAAAGAUCACGAAAAGGCCAGAAAAAAUACAUUUCGGUCAAAAUUUGGAGUAGAAAAAAAACCCUUCCUCAUUCAUUGGACAGCUCUCUUUGGGCUUUCCGAAAAGGUAUCACAUGCCAAGUUUGGCUUCACGGUCUAAACCUUAUAGACUCAUACAUUUUUCACAAAAAAAAGAAGAGAAAAACAAAAAAAAAGAGUGAUUAAACACGAGGACUUUCCUGGAGGUCACCCAUCCUAGUACUACUCUCGCCCAAGCACUCUUAACUGCGAAGUUCUGAUGGGAUCUGGUGCAUUAGUGCUGGUAUGAACGCAUCUGUUACUACAUGCAAUGCAAUCGUAUGUAUUCUUUUUUGAAGAUUUUAUGAUUCAUUUACCGUGGGUCCCACCAGCUAUGUAGGAAUAACCUAUCUUAUUUAUAAAAGCUUUGAUACAUGCAAAAUAUUCGAAAACAAUGUCCGAACAUAUAAUGUUCGCCCCAAAAUAUAGCAAAGACCACAAAAAUGCCAUAAAAAGUACAUUAAGGUCAAAAUUUGGAGUAGGAAAAAAAUCAAUAGGAGAAUUCCAUUUUCCUUCCCUCAUUCAUCGGAGAGCUCUCUUUGGGCAUUCCAAAAAGGUAUCACAUGCCAAGUUUGGCCUCACGGUCUAAAAGUUAUAGAGUAUUACAUUUUUAACAAAAAAAAAAAGAGAAAAACCGAAAAAAAGAGGGAUGCAACACGAAGACUUUUCUGGAGGUCACCCAUCCUAGUACUACUCUCCCCCAAGCACGCUUAACUGUGGUGUUCUGAUAGGAUCAAGUGCAUUAGUGCUGGUAUGAUCGCAUCAGUUACUACAUGCAAUGCAAUCAUAUAUAUUCUUUUUUGAAGACUUUAUGAUCCAUUUGCCGUAGGUCCCACCAGCUAUGUAGGAAUACCCUAUCUUGUUUAUAAGAGCUUUGAUACAUGCAAAAUAUUCGAAAACAAUGUCCGAACAUAUAAUUUUUGUCCCGUAAUAUAGCAAAGAUCACGAAAAGGUCAGAAAAAAUAUAUUUCGGUCAAAAUUUGGAGUAGAAAAAAAGCCCUUCCUCAUUCAUUGGACAGCUCUCUUUGGGCUUUCCGAAAAGGUAUCACAUGCCAAGUUUGGCCUCACGGUCUAAACCUUAUAGACUCAUACAUUUUUCAUAAAAAAAAGAAGAGAAAAACAAAAAAAAAAAGAGUGAUUAAACACGAGGACUUUCCUGGAGGUCACCCAUCCUAGUACUACUCUCGCCCAAGCACGCUUAACUACGAAGUUCCGAUGGGAUCUGAUGCAUUAGUGCUGGUAUGAUCGCAUCUGUUACUACAUGCAAUGCAAUCGUAUCUAUUCUUUUUUGAAGAUUUUAUGAUUCAUUUACUGUGGGUCCCACCAGCUAUGUAGGAAUAACCUAUCUUAUUUAUAAAAGCUUUGAUACAUGCAAAAUAUUGGAAAACAAUGUCCGAACAUAUAAUGUUCGCCCCAAAAUAUAGCAAAGACCACAAAAAUGCCAUAAAAAGUACAUUAAGGUCAAAAUUUGGAGUAGGAAAAAAAUCAAUAGGAGAAUUCCAUUUUCCUUCCCUCAUUCAUCGGAGAGCUCUCUUUGGGCAUUCCAAAAAGGUAUCACAUGCCAAGUUUGGCCUCACGGUCUAAAAGUUAUAGAGUAAUACAUUUUUAACAAAAAAAAAAAAGAAAAAAACCGAAAACAAAGAGGGAUGCAACACGAAGACUUUCCUGGAGGUCACCCAUCCUAGUACUACUCUCACCCAAGCACACNUUAACUGUGGUGUUCUGAUAGGAUCAAGUGCAUUAGUGCUGGUAUGAUCGCAUCAGUUACUACAUGCAAUGCAAUCNNNNNNNNNNNNNNNNNNNNNNNNNNNNNNNNNNNNNNNNNNNNNNNNNNCUCCUCAGUCAUCUUUGAGCUCUCUUUGGGCUUUCCGAAAAGGUAUCACAUGCCCAGUUUGGCCUCACGGUCUAAAAGUUAUAAAGUCAUACAUUUUUAACAAAAAAAAAAGAGAAAAACCGAAAAAAAGAGGGAUGCAAUACGAGGACUUUCCACGAGGUCACCCAUCCUAGUACAACUCUCGCCAAAGCAUGCUUAACUGCGGAGUUUAGAUGGGAUCUGGUGCAUUAGUGCUGGUAUGAUCGCAUCUGUUACUACAUGCAAUGCAAUCGUAUCUAUUCUUAUUUAAAGACUUUAUCAUCCAUUUGCCAUGGGUCCCACCUGUAGGAAUACCCAAUCUUGUUUAUAAGAGCUUUGAUACAUGCAAAAUAUUCGAAAACAACGUCCGAACAUAUAAUUUUCGCCCCGUAAUAUAGCAAAGAUCACGAAAAGGCCCGAAAAAGUACAUUAAGGUCAAAAUUUGGAAUAGAAAAAAAAACCAAAAGAAGUAUUCCAUUGUCCUUUGUCAUUCAUCGAAGAGCUCUCUUUGGGCUUUCCGAAAAGGUAUCGCAAGCCAAGUUUGGCCUCACGGUUUAAAAGUUAUAAAGUCAUACAUUUUUAACAAAAAAAAAAAGAGAAAAAACCGAAAAAAAGAGGGAUGCAACACGAGGACUUUUCUGGAGGUCACCCAUCCUAGUACUACUCUCGCCCGAUCACCCUUAACUGCGUAGUUUUGAUGGGAUUCGAUGCAUUAGUGCUGGUAUGAUCGCAUCUGUUACUACAUGCAAUGUAAUCGUAUCUAUUCUUUUUUAAAGACUUUAUGAUCCAUUUGCCGUGGGUCCCACCAGCUAUGUAGGAAUACCCUAUCUUCUUUAUAAGAGCUUUGAUAUAUGCAAAAUAGUGGAAAACCAUGUCCGAACAUAUAAUUUUUCCCCUGUAAUAUAGCAAAGAUCAAGAAAAAGCCAAAAAAAGUAUAUUUAGGUCAAAAUUUGGAGUAGAAAAAAAAACAAUAGAAGAAUUCCAUUUUCCUUCCUCAGUCAUCGGAGAGCUCUCUUUCGGCUUUCCGAAAAGGUAUCAAAUGCCAAGUUUGGCCUCACGGUCUAAAAGUUAUAGAGUCAUACAUUUUUAACAAUACAAAGUAGAGAAAACCGGAAAAAAGAGGGAUGCAACAUGAGGACUUUCCGGGAGGUAAUCCAUCCUAGUACAACUCUUGCCCAAGCACCCUUAACUGCGGAGUUCUGAUGGAAUCCGGUGCAUUAGUGCUGGUAUGAUCGCAUCUGUUACUACAUGCAAUGUAAUCGUAUCUAUUUUUUUUUAAAGACUUUAUGAUCCAUUUGCCGUGGGUCCCACCAGCUAUGUAGGAAUACCCUAUCUUCUUUAUAAGAGCUUUGAUACAUGCAAAAUAUAUGAAAAAACGUUCGAACAUAUAAUUUUUCCCCCCGUAAUAUAGCAAAGAUCACGAAAAGGCCCGAAAAAGUACAUUUAGUUCAAAAUUUGGAGUAGAAAAACCCAAUAGAAGAAUUCCAUUUUCCUUCGUCAUUCAUCGGAGAGCUCUCUUUGGGCUUUCCGAAAAGGUAUCACAUGCCAAGUUUGGCCUCACGGUCUAAAAGUUAUAGAGUCAUACAUUUUUAACAAAACAAAAUUGAGAAAAACCGAAAAAAGAGGGAUGCAACACGAGGACUCUCCAGAAGGUAACCCAUCUUAGUACUACUUUCGCCCAAGCACCCUUAACUGCGGAGUUCUGAUAGGACCCGGUGCAUUAGUGCUGGUAUGAUCGCAUGUGUUACUACAUGCAAUGUAAUCGUAUAUAUUCAUUUUUAAAGACUUUAUGAUCCAUUUGCCGUGGGUCCUACCAGCUAUGUAGAAAUACCCUAUCUUCUUUAUAAGAGCUUUCAUUCACGCAAAAUAAUGGAAAACAAUGUCCGAAGAUAUAAUUCCCCCCCCCCCCCCCCCGUAAUAUAGCAAAGAUCACGAAAAGGCCCGAAAAAGUACAUUAAGUUCAAAAUUUGGAGUAGAAAAAAAAACAAUAGAAGAAUUCCAUUUUCCUUCCUCAGUCAUCGGAGAGCUCUCUUUGGGCUUUCCGAAAAGGUAUCACAUGCCAAGUUUGGCCUCACGGUCUAAAGGUUAUAGAGUCAUACAUUUUUAACAAAAAAAAAUAGAAAAACAGAAAAAAGAGGGAUGCAAUACGAGGACUUUCCAGGAGGUCACCCAUCCUAGUACAACUCUCGCCGAAGCACGCUUAACUACGGUGUUCAGAUGGAAUCUGGUGCAUUAGUGCUGGUAUGAUGUCAUUUGUUACUACAUGCAAUGCAAUCAUAUCUAUUCUUAUUUAAAGACUUUAUGAUCCAUUUGCCGUGGGUCCCACCUGUAGGAAUACCCUAUCUUGUUUAUAAAAGAUUUGAUACAUGCAAAAUACUCGAAAACAAUGUCCGAACAUAUAAUUUUCACCCCGUAAUAUAGCAAAGAUCACGAAAAGGCCCGAAAAAGUACAUUAAAGUCAAAAUUUGGAGUAGAAAAAAACCCAAUAGAAGUAUUCCAUUCUCCUUCGUCAUUCAUCGGAGAGCUCUCUUUAGGCUUUCCGAAAAGAUAUCACAUGCCAAGUUUGGCCUCACGGUUUAAAAGUUAUAGAGUCAUAGAUUUUUAACAAAACAAAAAGAGAAAAACCGAAAAAAAAUUGGGAUGCAACACGAGGACUUUCCUGGAGGUCACCCAUCCUAGUACUACUCUUGCCCAAGCACCCUUAACUGCGUAGUUCUGAUGGGAUCCGAUGCUUUAGGGCUGGUAUGAUCGCAUCUGUUACUACAUGCAAUGUAAUCGUAUCUAUUCUUUUUUAAAGACUUUAUGAUCCAUUUGCCGUGGGUCCCACCAGCUAUGUAGGAAUACCCUAUCUUCUUUAUAAGAGCUUUGAUAAAUGCAAAAUAUUGGAAAGCAAUGUCCGAACAUAUAAUUUCGCCCCCGUAAUAUAGCAAAGAUCACGAAAAAGCCCAAAAAAGUUCAUUUAGGUCAAAAUUUGAGCAGAAGAAAAAGAAAUAGAAGAAUUCCAUUUUCCUUCCUCAUUUAUUGGAGAGCUCUCUUUGGGCUUUCCGAAAAGGUAUCACAUGCCAAGUUUGGCCUCACGGUCUAAAAGUUAUAGAGUCAUACAGUUUUAACAAAAUGAAAUAGAGAAAAACCGAAAAAAAGAGGGAUGUAACACGAGGACUUUCCGGGAGGUAAUCUAUCCUACUACUACUCUCGGCCAAGCACCCUUAACUGCGGAGUUCUAAUGGGAUCCGGUGCAUUAGUGCUAGUAUGAUCGCAUGUGUUACUACAUGCAAUGUAAUCGUAUCUAUUCUUUUUUAAAGACUUUAUGAUCCAUUUGCCGUGGGUCCCACCAGCUAUGUAGGAAUACCCUAUCUUCUUUAUAAGAGCUUUGAUACAUGCAAAAUAUAUGAAAAAAACGUCCGAACAUAUAAUUUUCCCCCCGUAAUAUAGCAAAGAUCAUGAAAAGGCCCAAAAAAGUACAUUAAUGUCAAAAUUUGGCGUAGAAAAAAAACCAAUAGACAUAUUCCAUUGUCCUUCAUCAUUCAUUGAAGAGCUCUCUUUGGGCUUUCCGAAAAGGUAUCACAUGCCAAGUUUGGCCUCACGGUCUAAAAGUUAUAGAGUCAUACAUUUUUAACAAUACAAAAUAGAGAAAAACCGAAAAAAAGAGGGAUGCAACACGAGGACUUUCCGGGAGGUAAUCCAUCCUAGUACUACUCUCGCCCAAGCACCCUUAACUGCGGAGUUCUGAUGGGACCCGGUGCAUUAGUGCUGGUAUGAUCGCAUCUGUUACUAUAUGCAAUGUAAUCGUAUCUAUUCUUUUUUAAAGACUUUAUGAUCCAUUUGCCGUGGGUCCCACCAGCUAUGUAGGAAUACCCUAUCUUCUUUAUAAGAGCUUUGAUAUAUGCAAAAUAUUGGAACACCAUGUCCGAACAUAUAAUUUUUCCCGUGUAAUAUAGCAAAGAUCAAGAAAAAGACAAAAGAGUACAUUUAGGUCAAAAUUUGAGUAGAAAAAAACAAAUAGAAGAAUUCCAUUUUCCUUCCUCAUUCAGCUGAGAGCUCUCUUUGGGCUUUCCGAAAAGGUAUCAUAUGCCAAGUUUGGCCUCACAGUGUAAAAGUUAUAGAGUCUAACAUUUUUAACAAAACAAAAUAGAGAAAAACCAAAAAAAGAGGGAUGCAACACGAGGACUUUCUGGGAGGUCACCCAUCCUAGUACUACUCUCGCCCAAGCACCCUUAACUGCGGAGUUCUGAUGGGAUCCGGUGCAUUAGUGCAGGUAUGAUCGCAUGUGUUACUACAUGCAAUGUAAUCCUAUCUAUUCUUUCUUAAAGACUUUAUGAUCCAUUUGCCGUGAGUCCCACCAGCUAUGUAGGAAUACCCUAUCUUCUUUAUAAGAGCUUUGAUACAUGCAAAAUAUUGGAAAACAAUAUCCGAACAUAUAGUUUUCCCCCCGUAAUAUAGCAAAGAUCACGAAAAGGCCCGAAAAAGUACAUUUAGUUCAAAAUUGGGAGUAGAAAAAAAAACAAUAGAAGAAUUCCAUUUUACUUCCUCAGUCAUCGGAGAGCUCUCUUUGGGCUUUCCGAAAAGGUAUCACAUGCCCAGUUUGGCCUCACGGUCUAAAAGUUAUAAAGUCAUACAUUUUUAACAAAAACAAAAGAGAAAAACCGAAAAAAAAGAGGGAUGCAAUACGAGGACUUUCCACGAGGUCACCCAUCCUAGUACAACUCUCGCCGAAGCAUGCUUAACUGCGGAGUUUAGAUGGGAUCUGGUGCAUUAGUGCUGGUAUGAUCGCAUCUGUUACUACAUGCAAUGCAAUCGUAUCUAUUCUUAUUUAAAGACUUUAUCAUCCAUUUGCCAUGGGUCCCACCUGUAGGAAUACCCAAUCUUGUUUAUAAGAGCUUUGAUACAUGCAAAAUAUUCGAAAACAACGUCCGAACAUAUAAUUUUCGCCCCGUAAUAUAGCAAAGAUCACGAAAAGGCCCGAAAAAGUACAUUAAGGUCAAAAUUUGGAAUAGAAAAAAAAACCAAUAGAAGUAUUCCAUUGUCCUUUGUCAUUCAUCGAAGAGCUCUCUUUGGGCUUUCCGAAAAGGUAUCGCAAGCCAAGUUUGGCCUCACGGUUUAAAAGUUAUAAAGUCAUACAUUUUUAACAAAAAAAAAAAGAGAAAAAACCGAAAAAAAGAGGGAUGCAACACGAGGACUUUUCUGGAGGUCACCCAUCCUAAUACUUCUCUCGCCCGAUCACCCUUAACUACGUAGUUUUGAUGGGAUUCGAUGCAUUAGUGCUGGUAUGAUCGCAUCUGUUACUACAUGCAAUGUAAUCGUAUCUAUUCUUUUUUAAAGACUUUAUGAUCCAUUUGCCGUGGGUCCCACCAGCUAUGUAGGAAUACCCUAUCUUCUUUAUAAGAGCUUUGAUAUAUGCAAAAUAUUGGAAAACCAUGUCCGAACAUAUAAUUUUUCCCCUGUAAUAUAGCAAAGAUCAAGAAAAAGCCAAAAAAGUAUAUUUAGGUCAAAAUUUGGAGUAGAAAAAAAAACAAUAGAAGAAUUCCAUUUUCCUUCCUCAGUCAUCGGAGAGCUCUCUUUGGGCUUUCCGAAAAGGUAUCAAAUGCCAAGUUUGGCCUCACGGUCUAAAAGUUAUAGAGUCAUACAUUUUUAACAAUACAAAGUAGAGAAAACCGGAAAAAAGAGGGAUGCAACAUGAGGACUUUCCGGGAGGUAAUCCAUCCUAGUACAACUCUUGCCCAAGCACCCUUAACUGCGGAGUUCUGAUGGAAUCCGGUGCAUUAGUGCUGGUAUGAUCGCAUGUGUUACUACAUGCAAUGUAAUCGUAUCUAUUCUUUUUUAAAGACUUUAUGAUCCAUUUGCCGUGGGUCCCACCAGCUAUGUAGGAAUACCCUAUCUUCUUUAUAAGAGCUUUGAUACAUGCAAAAUAUAUGAAAAAACGUUCGAACAUAUAAUUUUUCCCCCCGUAAUAUAGCAAAGAUCACGAAAAGGCCCGAAAAAGUACAUUUAGUUCAAAAUUUGGAGUAGAAAAACCCAAUAGAAGAAUUCCAUUUUCCUUCGUCAUUCAUCGGAGAGCUCUCUUUGGGCUUUCCGAAAAGGUAUCACAUGCCAAGUUUGGCCUCACGGUCUAAACGUUAUAGAGUCAUACAUUUUUAACAAAACAAAAUUGAGAAAAACCGAAAAAAAGAGGGAUGCAACACGAGGACUCUCCAGAAGGUAACCCAUCUUAGUACUACUUUCGCCCAAGCACCCUUAACUGCGGAGUUCUGAUAGGACCCGGUGCAUUAGUGCUGGUAUGAUCGCAUGUGUUACUACAUGCAAUGUAAUCGUAUAUAUUCAUUUUUAAAGACUUUAUGAUCCAUUUGCCGUGGGUCCUACCAGCUAUGUAGAAAUACCCUAUCUUCUUUAUAAGAGCUUUCAUUCACGCAAAAUAAUGGAAAACAAUGUCCGAAGAUAUAAUUUCCCCCCCCCCCCGUAAUAUAGCAAAGAUCACGAAAAGGCCCGAAAAAGUACAUUAAGUUCAAAAUUUGGAGUAGAAAAAAAAACAAUAGAAGAAUUCCAUUUUCCUUCCUCAGUCAUCGGAGAGCUCUCUUUGGGCUUUCCGAAAAGGUAUCACAUGCCAAGCUUGGCCUCACGGUCUAAAGGUUAUAGAGUCAUACAUUUUUAACAAAAAAAAAAUAGAAAAACAGAAAAAAGAGGGAUGCAAUACGAGGACUUUCCAGGAGGUCACCCAUCCUAGUACAACUCUCGCCGAAGCACGCUUAACUACGGUGUUCAGAUGGAAUCUGGUGCAUUAGUGCUGGUAUGAUGUCAUUUGUUACUACAUGCAAUGCAAUCAUAUCUAUUCUUAUUUAAAGACUUUAUGAUCCAUUUGCCGUGGGUCCCACCUGUAGGAAUACCCUAUCUUGUUUAUAAAAGAUUUGAUACAUGCAAAAUACUCGAAAACAAUGUCCGAACAUAUAAUUUUCACCCCGUAAUAUAGCAAAGAUCACGAAAAGGCCCGAAAAAGUACAUUAAAGUCAAAAUUUGGAGUAGAAAAAAACCCAAUAGAAGUAUUCCAUUCUCCUUCGUCAUUCAUCGGAGAGCUCUCUUUAGGCUUUCCGAAAAGAUAUCACAUGCCAAGUUUGGCCUCACGGUUUAAAAGUUAUAGAGUCAUAGAUUUUUAACAAAACAAAAAGAGAAAAACCGAAAAAAAUUGGGAUGCAACACGAGGACUUUCCUGGAGGUCACCCAUCCUAGUACUACUCUCGCCCAAGCACCCUUAACUGCGUAGUUCUGAUGGGAUCCGAUGCUUUAGUGCUGGUAUGAUCGCAUCUGUUACUACAUGCAAUGUAAUCGUAUCUAUUCUUUUUUAAAGACUUUAUGAUCCAUUUGCCGUGGGUCCCACCAGCUAUGUAGGAAUACCCUAUCUUCUUUAUAAGAGCUUUGAUAAAUGCAAAAUAUUGGAAACCAAUGUCCGAACAUAUAAUUUCGCCCCCGUAAUAUAGCAAAGAUCACGAAAAAGCCCAAAAAAGUUCAUUUAGGUCAAAAUUUGAGCAGAAGAAAAAGAAAUAGAAGAAUUCCAUUUUCCUUCCUCAUUUAUUGGAGAGCUCUCUUUGGGCUUUCCGAAAAGGUAUCACAUGCCAAGUUUGGCCUCACGGUCUAAAAGUUAUAGAGUCAUACAUUUUUAACAAAAUGAAAUAGAGAAAAACCGAAAAAAAGAGGGAUGUAACACGAGGACUUUCCGGGAGGUAAUCUAUCCUACUACUACUCUCGGCCAAGCACCCUUAACUGCGGAGUUCUAAUGGGAUCCGGUGCAUUAGUGCUGGUAUGAUCGCAUGUGUUACUACAUGCAAUGUAAUCGUAUCUAUUCUUUUUUAAAGACUUUAUGAUCCAUUUGCCGUGGGUCCCACCAGCUAUGUAGGAAUACCCUAUUUUCUUUAUAAGAGCUUUGAUACAUGCAAAAUAUUGGAAAACAAUGUCCGAACAUAUUAUUUUCCCCCCGUAAUAUAGCAAAGAUCACGAAAAGGCCCGAAAAAGUACAUUUAGUUCAAAAUGUGGAGUAGAAAAAAAAACAAUAGAAGAAUUCCAUUUUCCUUCGUCAUUCAUCGGAGAGCUCUCUUUAGGCUUUCCGAAAAGGUAUCACAUGCCAAGUUUGGCCUCACGGUCUAAAAGUUAUAGAAUCAUACAUUUUUAACAAAACAAAAUAGAGAAAAACCGAAAAAGAGGGAUUUAACACGAGGACUUUCCGAGAGGUAACCCAUCCUAGUACUACUCUCGUCCAAGCACCCUUAACUGCGGAGUUCUGAUGGGAUCCGGUGUAUUAGUGCUGGUAUGAUCGCAUGUGUUACUACAUGCAAUGUAAUCGUAUCUAUUCUUUUUUAAAGACUUUAUAAUCCAUUUGCCGUGGGUCCCACCAGCUAUGUAGGAAUACCCUAUUUUCUUUAUAAGAGCUUUGAUACAUGCAAAAUAUUAGAAAACAAUGUCCGAACAUAUUAUUUUCCCCCCGUUAUAUAGCAAAGAUCACGAAAAGGCCCGAAAAAGUACAUUUAGUUCAAAAUUUGGAGUAGAAAAAAAAACAAUAGAAGAAUUCCAUUUUCCUUCGUCAUUCAUCGGAGAGCUCUCUUUAGGCUUUCCGAAAAGGUAUCACAUGCCAAGUUUGGCCUCACGGUCUAAAAGUUAUAGAGUCAUACAUUUUUAACAAAACAAAAUAGAGAAAAACCGAAAAAAGAGGGAUUUAACACGAGGACUUUCUGAGAGGUAACCCAUCCGAGUACUACACUCGCCCAAGCACCCUUAACUACGGAGUUCUGAUGGGAUACGGUGCAUUAGUGCUGGUUUGAUCGCAUCUGUUACUACAUGCAAUGUAAUCGUAUCUAUUCUUUUUUAAAGACUUUAUGAUCCAUUUGCCGUGGGUGCCACCAACUAUGUAGGAUUAUCCUAUAUUCUUUAUAAGAGCUUUGAUACAUGAAAAAUAUUCGAAAACAAUGUCCGAACAUAUAAUUUCCACCCGUAAUAUAGCAAAGAUCACGAAAAGGCCCAAAAAAGUACAUUAAGUUUAAAAUUUGGAGUAGAAAAAAAACCAAUAGAAGAAUUCCAUUUUCCUUCCUCAGUCAUCGGAGAGCUCUCUUUGGGCUUUCCGAAAAGGUAUCACAUGCCAAGUUUGACCUCACGGUCUAAAGGUUAUAGAGUCAUACAUUUUUAACAAAAAAAAAUAGAAAAACAGGAAAAAAGAGGGAUGCAAUACGAGGACUUUCCAGGAGGUCACCCAUCCUAGUACAACUCUCGCCGAAGCACGCUUAACUGCGGUGUUCAGAUGGGAUCUGGUGCAUUAGUGCUCGUAUGAUGGCAUUUGUUACUACAUGCAAUGCAAUCGUAUCUACUCUUAUUUAAAGACUUUAUGAUCCAUUUGCCGUGGGUGCCACCAACUAUGUAGGAUUAUCCUAUAUUCUUUAUAAGAGCUUUGAUACAUGCAAAAUAUUCGAAAGCAAUGUCCGAACAUAUAAUUUCCCCCCCGUAAUAUAGCAAAGAUCACGAAAAGGCCCGAAAAAGUACAUUUAGUUCAAAAUUUGGAGUAGAAAAAAAAACAAUAGAAGAAUUCCAUUUUCCUUCGUCAUUCAUCGGAGAGCUCUCUUUAGGCUUUCCGAAAAGGUAUCACAUGCCAAGUUUGGCCUCACGGUCUAAAAGUUAUAGAGUCAUACAUUUUCAACAAAACAAAAUAGAGAAACACCGAAAAAAGAGGGAUUUAACACGAGGACUUUCCGAGAGGUAACCCAUCCUAGUACUACUCUCGUCCAAGCACCCUUAACUGCGGAGUUCUGAUGGGAUCCGGUGCAUUAGUGCUGGUAUGAUCGCAUGUGUUACUACAUGCAAUGUAAUCAUAUCUAUUCUUUUUUUAAAGACUUUAUGAUUCAUUUGCCGUGGGUCCCACCAGCUAUGUAGGAAUACCCUAUUUUCUUUAUAACAGCUUUGAUACAUGCAAAAUAUUGGAAAACAAUGUCCGAACAUAUUAUUUUCCUCCCGUAAUAUAGCAAAGAUCACGAAAAGGCCCGAAAAAGUACAUUUAGUUCAAAAUUUGGAGUAGAAAAAAAAACAAUAGAAGAAUUCCAUUUUCCUUCGUCAUUCAUCGGAGAGCUCUCUUUAGGCUUUCCGAAAAGGUAUCACAUGCCAAGUUUGGCCUCACGGUCUAAAAGUAUAGAGUCAUACAUUUUUAAAAAAACAAAAUAGAGAAAAACCGAAAAAAGAGGGAUUUAACACGAGGACUUUCCGAGAGGUAACCCAUCCUAGUACUACUCUCGUCCAAGCACCCUUAACUGCGGAGUUCUAAUGGGAUCUGGUGCAUUAGUGCUGGUAUGAUCGCAUGUGUUACUACAUGCAAUGUAAUCGUAUCUAUUCUUUUUUAAAGACUUUAUGAUCCAUUUGCCGUGGGUCCCACCAGCUAUGUAGGAAUACCCUAUUUUCUUUAUAAGAGCUUUGAUACAUGCAAAAUAUUGGAAAACAAUGUCCGAACAUAUUAUUUUCCCCCCGUUAUAUAGCAAAGAUCACGAAAAGGCCCGAAAAAGUACAUUUAGUUCAAAAUUUGGAGUAGAAAGAAAAACAAUAGAAGAAUUCCAUUUUCCUUCGUCAUUCAUCUGAGAGCUCUCUUUAGGCUUUCCGAAAAGGUAUCACAUGCCAAGUUUGGCCUCACGGUCUAAAAGUUAUAGAGUCAUACAUUUUUAACAAAACAAAAUAGAGAAAAACCGAAAAAGAGGGAUUUAAGACGAGGACUUUCUGAGAGGUAACCCAUCCGAGUACUACACUCGCCCAAGCACCCUUAACUACGGAGUUCUGAUGGGAUACGGUGCAUUAGUGCUGGUUUGAUCGCAUGUGUUACUACAUGCAAUGUAAUCGUAUCUAUUCUUUUUUAAAGACUUUAUGAUCCAUUUGCCGUGGGUGCCACCAACUAUGUAGGAUUAUCCUAUAUUCUUUAUAAGAUCUUUGAUACUUGCAAAAUAUUCGAAAAAAAUGUCCGAACAUAUAAUUUCCCCCCCGUAAUAUAGCAAAGAUCACGAAAAGGCCCAAAAAAGUACAUUAAGUUUAAAAUUUGGAGUAGAAAAAAAACCAAUAGAAGAAUUCCAUUUUCCUUCCUCAGUCAUCGGAGAGCUCUCUUUGGGCUUUCCGAAAAGUUAUCACAUGCCAAGUUUGACCUCACGGUCUAAAGGUUAUAGAGUCAUACAUUUUUAACAAAAAAAAAUAGAAAAACAGGAAAAAAGAGGGAUGCAAUACGAGGACUUUCCAGCAGGUCACCCAUCCUAGUACAACUCUCGCCAAAGCACGCUUAACUGCGGUGUUCAGAUGGGAUCUGGUGCAUUAGUGCUUGUAUGAUGGCAUUUGUUACUACAUGCAAUGCAAUCGUAUCGAUUCUUAUUUAAAGACUUUAUGAUCCAUUUGUCGUGGGUGCCACCUGUAGGAAUACCCUAUCUUGUUUAUAAGAGAUUUGAUACAUGCAAAAUAUUCGAAAACAAUGUCCGAACAUAUAAUUUUUGCCCCGUAAUAUAGAAAAGAUCACAAAAAAGUCCAAAAAAGUACAUUUAGGUCAAAAUUUGAGCAGAAAAAAAAGAAAUAGAAGAAUUCCAUUUUCCUUCGUCAUUCAUCGGAGAGCUCUCUUUAGGCUUUCCGAAAAGAUAUCACAUGCCAAGUUUGGCCUCACGGUCUAAAAGUUAUAGAGUCAUACAUUUUUCACAAAACAAAAAGAGAAAAACCGAAAAAAAUAGGGAUGCAACACGAGGACUUUCCUGGAGGUCACCCAUCCUAGUACUAAUCUCGCCCAAGCACCCUUAACUGCGUAGUUCUGAUGGGAUCCGAUGCAUUAGUCCUGGUAUGAUCGCAUCUGUUACUAUAUGCAAUAUAAUCGUAUCUAUUCUUUUUUAAAGACUUUAUGAUCCAUUUGCCGUGGGUCCCACCAGCUAUGUAGGAUACCCUAUCUUCAUAAUAAGAGCUUUGAUAAAUGCAAAAUAUUGGAAAACAAUGUCCGAACAUAUAAUUUCCCCCCCCCCCCCCGUAAUAUAGCAAAGAUCACGAAAAAGCCCAAAAAAGUACAUUUAGGUCAAAAUUUGAGUAGAAAAAAAAACAAAUAGAGGAAUUCCAUUUUCCGUCCUCAUUCAUCGGAGAGCUCUCUUUCGGCUUUCCGAAAAGGUAUCACAUGCCAAGUUUGGCCUCACGGUCUAAAAGUUAUAGAGUCAUACAUUUUUAACAAAACAAAAUAGAGAAAAACCGAAAAAAAGAAGGAUGCAACACGAGGACUUCCCGGGAGGUCACCCAUCCUAGUACUACUCUCGCCUAAGCACCCUUAACUGCGGAGUUCUGAUGGGAUCAGGUGCAUUAGUGCUGGUAUGAUCGCAUGUGGUACUACAUGCAAUGUAAUCGUAUCUAUUCCUUUUGAAAGACUUUAUGAUCCAUUUGCCGUGGGUCCCACCAGCUAUGUAGGAAUACCCUAUCUUCUUUAUAAGAGCUUUGAUACAUGCAAAAUAUUUGAAAACAAUGUCCGAACAUAUAAUUUUCCCCCCGUUAUAUAGCAAAGAUCACGAAAAGGCCCAAAAAAGUACAAUUAGUUCAAAAUUUGGAGUAGAAAAAAAAACAAUAGAAGAAUUCCAUUUUCCUUCCUCAGUCAUCGGAGAGCUCUCUUUGGGCUUUCCAAAAAGGUAUCACAUGCCAAGUUUGGCCUCACAGUCUAAAAGUUAUAGAGUCAUACAUUUUUAACAAAACAAAAUAGAGAAAAACCGAAAAAAAGAGGGAUGCAACACGAGGACUUUCCGGGAGGUAACCCAUCCUAGUACUACUCUCGCCCAAGCACCCUUAACUGCGGAGUUUUGAUGGGAUCCGGUGCAUUAGUGUUGGUAUGAUCGCAUGUGUUACUACAUGCAAUGUAAUCGUAUCUAUUCCUUUUGAAAGACUUUAUGAUCCAUUUGCCGUGGGUCCCACCAGCUAUGUAGGAAUACCCUAUCUUCUUUAUAAGAGCUUUGAUACAUACAAAAUAUUGGAUCACAAUGUCAUAACAUAUAAUUUUCCCCCCUUAAUAUAGCAAAGAUCACGAAAAGGCCCGAAAAAAUACAUUUAGUUCAAAAUUUGGAGUAGAAAAAAAAAAUAUAAGAAUUCCAUUUUCCUUCCUCUGUUAUCGGAGAGCUCUCUUUGGGCUUUCCGAAAAGGUAUCACAUGCCAAGUUUGGCCUCACGGUCUAAAAGAUAUAAAGUCAUACAUUAUUAACAAAACAAAAUAGAGAAAAACCGAAAAAAAGAAGGAUGCAACACGAGGACUUUCCGGGAGGUAAUCUAUCCUAGUACUACUCUCGCCCAAGCACCCUUAACUGCGGAGUUCUGAUGGGAUCCGGUGCAUUAGUGUUGGUAUGAUCGCAUGUGUUACUACAUGCAAUGUAACCGUAUCUAUUCUUUUUUAAAGACUUUAUGAUCCAUUUGCCGUGGGUCCCACCAGCUAUGUAGGAAUAUUCUAUCUUCUUUAUAAGAGCUUUGAUACAUGCAAAAUAUUGGAAAACAACGUCCGAACAUAUAAUUUCCCCCCCCCCCCGUAAUAUAGCAAAAAUCACGAAAAGGCCCGAAAAAGUACAUUUAGUUCAAAAUUUGCAGUAGAAAAAAAAACAAUAGAAGAAUUUCAUUUUCCUUCCUCAGUCAUCGGAGAGCUCUCUUUGGGCUUUCCAAAAAGGUAUCACAUGCCAAGUUUGGCCUCACAGUCUAAAAGUUAUAGAGUCAUACAUUUUUAACAAAACAAAAUAGAGAAAAACCGAAAAAAGAGGGAUGCAACACGAGGACUUUCCCGGAGGUAAUCUAUCCUAGUACUACUCUCGCCCAAGCACCCUUAACUGCGGAGUUCUGAUGGGAUCCGGUGCAGUAGUGCUGGUAUGAUCGCAUGUGUUACUACAUGCAAUGUAAUCGUAUCUAUUCUUUUUUAAAGACUUUAUGAUCCAUUUGCCGUGAGUCCCACCAGCUAUGUAGGAAUAUUCUAUCUUCUUUAUAAGAGCUUUGAUACAUGCAAAAUACUGGAAAACAAUGUCCGAACAUAUAAUUUUCCCCACGUAAUAUAGCAAAGAUCACGAAAAGGCCCGAAAAAGUACAUUUAGUUCAAAAUUUGGAGUAGAAAAAAAAACAAUAGAAGAAUUUCAUUUUCCUUCCCUAGUCAUCGGAGAGCUCUCUUUGGGCUUUCCAAAAAGGUAUCACAUGCCAAGUUUGGCCUCACAGUCUAAAAGUUAUAGAGUCAUACAUUUUUAACAAAACAAAAUAGAGAAAAACCGAAAAAAAAGAGGGAUGCAACACGAGGACUUUCUGGGAGGUAAUCUAUCCUAGUACUACUCUCGCCCAAGCACCCUUAACUGCGGAGUUCUGAUGGGAUCCGGUGCAGUAGUGCUGGUAUGAUCGCAUGUGUUACUACAUGCAAUGUAAUCGUAUCUAUUCUUUUUUAAAGACUUUAUGAUCCAUUUGCCGUGAGUCCCACCAGCUAUGUAGGAAUAUUCUAUCUUCUUUAUAAGAGCUUUGAUACAUGCAAAAUACUGGAAAACAAUGUCCGAACAUAUAAUUUUCCCCCCGUAAUAUAGCAAAGAUCACGAAAAGGCCCAGAAAAGUACAUUUAGUUCAAAAUUUGGAGUAGAAAAAAAAACAAUAGAAGAAUUCCAUUUUCCUUCCUCAAUCAUCGGAGAGCUCUCUUUGGGCUUUCCGAAAAGGUAUCUCAUGCCAAGUUUGGCCUCACGAACUAAAAGUUAUAGAGUCAUACAUUUUUAACAAAACAAAAUAGAGAAAAACCGAAAAAAGAGGGAUGCAACACAAGGACUUUCCGGGAGGUCACCCAUCCUAGUACUACUCUCGCCCAAGCACCCUUAACUGCGGAGUUCUGAUGGGAUCCAGUGCAUUAGUGCUGGUAUGAUCGCAUGUGUUACUACAUGCAAUGUAAUCGUAUCUAUUCUUUUUUAAAGAUUUUAUGAUCCAUUUGCCGUGGGUCCCACCAGCUAUGUAGGAAUACCCUAUCUUCUUUAUAAGAGCUUUGAUACAUACAAAAUAUUGGAUCACAAUGUCAGAACAUAUAAUUUUCCCCCCUUAAUAUAGCAAAGUUCACUAAAAGGCCCGAAAAAAUACAUUUAGUUCAAAAUUUGGAGUAGAAAAAAAAACAAUAGAAGAAUUUCAUUUUCCUUCCUCAGUCAUCGGAGAGCUCUCUUUGGGCUUUCCAAAAAGGUAUCACAUGCCAAGUUUGGCCUCACAGUCUAAAAGUUAUAGAGUCAUACAUUUUUAACAAAACAAAAUAGAGAAAAACCGAAAAAAGAGGGAUGCAACACGAGGACUUUCCCGGAGGUAAUCUAUCCUAGUACUACUCUCGCCCAAGCACCCUUAACUGCGGAGUUCUGAUGGGAUCCGGUGCAGUAGUGCUGGUAUGAUCGCAUGUGUUACUACAUGCAAUGUAAUCGUAUCUAUUCUUUUUUAAAGACUUUAUGAUCCAUUUGCCGUGAGUCCCACCAGCUAUGUAGGAAUAUUCUAUCUUCUUUAUAAGAGCUUUGAUACAUGCAAAAUACUGGAAAACAAUGUCCGAACAUAUAAUUUUCCCCACGUAAUAUAGCAAAGAUCACGAAAAGGCCCGAAAAAGUACAUUUAGUUCAAAAUUUGGAGUAGAAAAAAAAACAAUAGAAGAAUUUCAUUUUCCUUCCUCAGUCAUCGGAGAGCUCUCUUUGGGCUUUCCAAAAAGGUAUCACAUGCCAAGUUUGGCCUCACAGUCUAAAAGUUAUAGAGUCAUACAUUUUUAACAAAACAAAAUAGAGAAAAACCGAAAAAAAAGAGGGAUGCAACACGAGGACUUUCUGGGAGGUAAUCUAUCCUAGUACUACUCUCGCCCAAGCACCCUUAACUGCGGAGUUCUGAUGGGAUCCGGUGCAGUAGUGCUGGUAUGAUCGCAUGUGUUACUACAUGCAAUGUAAUCGUAUCUAUUCUUUUUUAAAGACUUUAUGAUCCAUUUGCCGUGAGUCCCACCAGCUAUGUAGGAAUAUUCUAUCUUCUUUAUAAGAUCUUUGAUACAUGCAAAAUACUGGAAAACAAUGUCCGAACAUAUAAUUUUCCCCCCGUAAUAUAGCAAAGAUCACGAAAAGGCCCAGAAAAGUACAUUUAGUUCAAAAUUUGGAGUAGAAAAAAAAACAAUAGAAGAAUUCCAUUUUCCUUCCUCAAUCAUCGGAGAGCUCUCUUUGGGCUUUCCGAAAAGGUAUCUCAUGCCAAGUUUGGCCUCACGAACUAAAAGUUAUAGAGUCAUACAUUUUUAACAAAACAAAAUAGAGAAAAACCGAAAAAAGAGGGAUGCAACACAAGGACUUUCCGGGAGGUCACCCAUCCUAGUACUACUCUCGCCCAAGCACCCUUAACUGCGGAGUUCUGAUGGGAUCCAGUGCAUUAGUGCUGGUAUGAUCGCAUGUGUUACUACAUGCAAUGUAAUCGUAUCUAUUCUUUUUUAAAGAUUUUAUGAUCCAUUUGCCGUGGGUCCCACCAGCUAUGUAGGAAUACCCUAUCUUCUUUAUAAGAGCUUUGAUACAUACAAAAUAUUGGAUCACAAUGUCAGAACAUAUAAUUUUCCCCCCUUAAUAUAGCAAAGUUCACUAAAAGGCCCGAAAAAAUACAUUUAGUUCAAAAUUUGGAGUAGAAAAAAAAACAAUAGAAGAAUUUCAUUUUCCUUCCUCAGUCAUCGGAGAGCUCUCUUUGGGCUUUCCAAAAAGGUAUCACAUGCCAAGUUUGGCCUCACAGUCUAAAAGUUAUAGAGUCAUACAUUUUUAACAAAACAAAAUAGAGAAAAACCGAAAAAAAGAGGGAUGCAACACGAGGACUUUCUGGGAGGUAAUCUAUCCUAGUACUACUCUCGCCCAAGCACCCUUAACUGCGGAGUUCUGAUGGGAUCCGGUGCAGUAGUGCUGGUAUGAUCGCAUGUGUUACUACAUGCAAUGUAAUCGUAUCUAUUCUUUUUUAAAGACUUUAUGAUCCAUUUGCCGUGAGUCCCACCAGCUAUGUAGGAAUAUUCUAUCUUCUUUAUAAGAGCUUUGAUACAUGCAAAAUACUGGAAAACAAUGUCCGAACAUAUAAUUUUCCCCCCGUAAUAUAGCAAAGAUCACGAAAAGGCCCGAAAAAGUACAUUUAGUUCAAAAUUUGGAGUAGAAAAAAAAACAAUAGAAGAAUUCCAUUUUCCUUCCUCAAUCAUCGGAGAGCUCUCUUUGGGCUUUCCGAAAAGGUAUCUCAUGCCAAGUUUGGCCUCACGAACUAAAAGUUAUAGAGUCAUACAUUUUUAACAAAACAAAAUAGAGAAAAACCGAAAAAAGAGGGAUGCAACACAAGGACUUUCCGGGAGGUCACCCAUCCUAGUACUACUCUCGCCCAAGCACCCUUAACUGCGGAGUUCUGAUGGGAUCCAGUGCAUUAGUGCUGGUAUGAUCGCAUGUGUUACUACAUGCAAUGUAAUCGUAUCUAUUCUUUUUUAAAGAUUUUAUGAUCCAUUUGCCGUGGGUCCCACCAGCUAUGUAGGAAUACCCUAUCUUCUUUAUAAGAGCUUUGAUACAUACAAAAUAUUGGAUCACAAUGUCAGAACAUAUAAUUUUCCCCCCUUAAUAUAGCAAAGUUCACUAAAAGGCCCGAAAAAAUACAUUUAGUUCAAAAUUUGGAGUAGAAAAAAAAACAAUAGAAGAAUUUCAUUUUCCUUCCUCAGUCAUCGGAGAGCUCUCUUUGGGCUUUCCAAAAAGGUAUCACAUGCCAAGUUUGGCCUCACAGUCUAAAAGUUAUAGAGUCAUACAUUUUUAACAAAACAAAAUAGAGAAAAACCGAAAAAAAGAGGGAUGCAACACGAGGACUUUCUGGGAGGUAAUCUAUCCUAGUACUACUCUCGCCCAAGCACCCUUAACUGCGGAGUUCUGAUGGGAUCCGGUGCAGUAGUGCUGGUAUGAUCGCAUGUGUUACUACAUGCAAUGUAAUCGUAUCUAUUCUUUUUUAAAGACUUUAUGAUCCAUUUGCCGUGAGUCCCACCAGCUAUGUAGGAAUAUUCUAUCUUCUUUAUAAGAGCUUUGAUACAUGCAAAAUACUGGAAAACAAUGUCCGAACAUAUAAUUUUCCCCCCGUAAUAUAGCAAAGAUCACGAAAAGGCCCGAAAAAGUACAUUUAGUUCAAAAUUUGGAGUAGAAAAAAAAACAAUAGAAGAAUUCCAUUUUCCUUCCUCAAUCAUCGGAGAGCUCUCUUUGGGCUUUCCGAAAAGGUAUCUCAUGCCAAGUUUGGCCUCACGAACUAAAAGUUAUAGAGUCAUACAUUUUUAACAAAACAAAAUAGAGAAAAACCGAAAAAAGAGGGAUGCAACACAAGGACUUUCCGGGAGGUCACCCAUCCUAGUACUACUCUCGCCCAAGCACCCUUAACUGCGGAGUUCUGAUGGGAUCCGGUGCAUUAGUGCUGGUAUGAUCGCCCGUGUUACUACAUGCAAUGCAAUCGUAUCUAUUCUUUUUUAAAGAUUUUAUGAUCCAUUUGCCGUGGGUCCCACCAGCUAUGUAGGAAUACCCUAUCUUCUUUAUAAGAGGUUUGAUACAUACAAAAUAUUGGAUCACAAUGUCAGAACAUAUAAUUUUCCCCCCUUAAUAUAGCAAAGAUCACUAAAAGGCCCGAAAAAAUACAUUUAGUUCAAAAUUUGGAGUAGAAAAAAAAACAAUAGAAGAAUUCCAUUUUCCUUCCUCAGUUAUCGGAGAACUCUCUUUGGGCUUUCCGAAAAGGUAUCACAUGCCAAGUUUGGCCUCACGGUCUAAAAGAUAUAGAGUCAUACAUUAUUAACAAAACAAAAUAGAGAAAAACCGAAAAAAAGAAGGAUGCAACACGAGGACUUUGCGGGAGGUAAUCUAUCCUAGUACUACUCUCGCCCAAGCACCCUUAACUGCGGAGUUCUGAUGGGAUCCGGUGCAUUAGUGCUGGUAUGAUCGCAUGUGUUACUACAUGCAAUGUAAUCGUAUCUAUUCUUUUUUAAAGACUUUAUGAUCCAUUUGCCGUGGGUCCNNNNNNNNNNNNNNNNNNNNNNNNNNNNNNNNNNNNNNNNNNNNNNNNNNACAUGCCAAGUUUGGCCUUACGGUCUAAAAGUUAUAGAGUAAUACANUUUUUAACAAAAAAAAAAGAAAAAAACCGAAAACAAAGAGGGAUGCAACACGAAGACUUUCCUGGAGGUCACCCAUCCUAGUACUACUCUCGCCCAAGCACACUUAACUGCGGUGUUCUGAUAGGAUCAAGUGCAUUAGUGCUGGUAUGAUCGCAUCAGUUACUACAUGCAAUGCAAUCAUAUAUAUUCUUUUUUGAAGACUUUAUGAUCCAUUUGCCGUAGGUCCCACCAGCUAUGUAGGAAUACCCUAUCUCGUUUAUAAGAGCUUUGAUACAUGCAAAAUAUUCGAAAACAAUGUCCGAACAUAUAAUUUUUGUCCCGUAAUAUAGCAAAGAUCGCGAAAAGGCCAUAAAAAAUACAUUUCGGUCAAAAUUUGGAGUAGAAAAAAAACCCUUCCUCAUUCAUUGGACAGCUCUCUUUGGGCUUUCCGAAAAGGUAUCACAUGCCAAGUUUGGCCUCACGGUCUAAACCUUAUAGACUCAUACAUUUUUCACAAAAAAAAGAAGAGAAAAACCAAAAAAAAGAGUGAUUAAACACGAGGACUUUCCUGGAGGUCACCCAUCCUAGUACUACUCUCGCCCAAGCACGCUUAACUGCGAAGUUCUGAUGGGAUCUGGUGCAUUAGUGCUGGUAUGAUCGCAUCUGUUACUACAUGCAAUGCAAUCGUAUUUAUUCUUUUUUGAAGAUUUUAUGAUUCAUUUACCGUGGGUCCCACCAGCUAUGUAGGAAUAACCUAUCUUAUUUAUAAAAGCUUUGAUACAUGCAAAAUAUUAGAAAACAAUGUCCGAACAUAUAAUGUUCGCCCCAAAAUAUAGCAAAGACCACAAAAAUGCCAUAAAAAGUACAUUAAGGUCAAAAUUUGGAGUAGGAAAAAAAUCAAUAGGAGAAUUCCAUUUUCCUUCCUUCAUUCAUCGGAGAGCUCUCUUUGGGCAUUCCAAAAAGGUAUCACAUGCCAAGUUUGGCCUCACGGUCUAAAAGUUAUAGAGUAAUACAUUUUUAACAAAAAAAAAAGAAAAAAACCGAAAACAAAGAGGGAUGCAACACGAAGACUUUCCUGGAGGUCACCCAUCCUAGUACUACUCUCGCCCAAGCACACUUAACUGCGGUGUUCUGAUAGGAUCAAGUGCAUUAGUGCUGGUAUGAUCGCAUCAGUUACUACAUGCAAUGCAAUCAUAUAUAUUCUUUUUUGAAGACUUUAUGAUCCAUUUGCCGUAGGUCCCACCAGCUAUGUAGGAAUACCCUAUCUCGUUUAUAAGAGCUUUGAUACAUGCAAAAUAUUCGAAAACAAUGUCCGAACAUAUAAUUUUUGUCCCGUAAUAUAGCAAAGAUCACGAAAAGGCCAGAAAAAAUACAUUUCGGUCAAAAUUUGGAGUAGAAAAAAAACCCUUCCUCAUUCAUUGGACAGCUCUUUUUGGGCUUUCCGAAAAGGUAUCACAUGCCAAGUUUGGCCUCACGGUCUAAACCUUAUAGACUCAUACAUUUUUCACAAAAAAAAGAAGAGAAAAACCAAAAAAAAGAGUGAUUAAACACGAGGACUUUCCUGGAGGUCACCCAUCCUAGUACUACUCUCGCCCAAGCACGCUUAACUGCGAAGUUCUGAUGGGAUCUGGUGCAUUAGUGCUGGUAUGAUCGCAUCUGUUACUACAUGCAAUGCAAUCGUAUCUAUUCUUUUUUGAAGAUUUUAUGAUUCAUUUACCGUGGGUCCCACCAGCUAUGUAGGAAUAACCUAUCUUAUUUAUAAAAGCUUUGAUACAUGCAAAAUAUUCGAAAACAAUGUCCGAACAUAUAAUGUUCGCCCCAAAAUAUAGCAAAGACCACAAAAAUGCCAUAAAAAGUACAUUAAGGUCAAAAUUUGGAGUAGGAAAAAAAUCAAUAGGAGAAUUCCAUUUUCCUUCCCUCAUUCAUCGGAGAGCUCUCUUUGGGCAUUCCAAAAAGGUAUCACAUGCCAAGUUUGGCCUCACGGUCUAAAAGUUAUAGAGUAAUACAUUUUUAACAAAAACAAAAGAAAAAAACCGAAAACAAAGAGGGAUGCAACACGAAGACUUUCCUGGAGGUCACCCAUCCUAGUACUACUCUCGCCCAAGUACACUUAACUGCGGUGUUCUGAUAGGAUCAAGUGCAUUAGUGCUGGUAUGAUCGCAUCAGUUACUACAUGCAAUGCAAUCAUAUAUAUUCUUUUUUGAAGACUUUAUGAUCCAUUUGCCGUAGGUCCCACCAGCUAUGUAGGAAUACCCUAUCUUGUUUAUAAGAGCUUUCAUACAUGCAAAAUAUUCAAAAACAAUGUCCGAACAUAUAAUUUUUGUCCCGUAAUAUAGCAAAGAUCACGAAAAGGCCAGAAAAAAUACAUUUCGGUCAAAAUUUGGAGUAGAAAAAAAACCCUUCCUCAUUCAUUGGACAGCUCUCUUUGGGCUUUCUGAAAAGGUAUCACAUGCCAAGUUUGGCCUCACGGUCUAAACCUUAUAGACUCAUACAUUUUUCACAAAAAAAAGAAGAGAAAAACCAAAAAAAAGAGUGAUUAAACACGAGGACUUUCCUGGAGGUCACCCAUCCUAGUACUACUCUCGCCCAAGCACGCUUCACUGCGAAGUUCUGAUGGGAUCUGGUGCAUUAGUGCUGGUAUGAUCGCAUCUGUUACUACAUGCAAUGCAAUCGUAUCUAUUCUUUUUUGAAGAUUUUAUGAUUCAUUUACCGUGGGUCCCACCAGAUAGGAAUAACCUAUCUUAUUUAUAAAAGCUUUGAUACAUGCAAAAUAUUCGAAAACAAUGUCCGAACAUAUAAUGUUCGCCCCAAAAUAUAGCAAAGACCACAAAAAUGCAAUAAAAAGUACAUUAAGGUCAAAAUUUGGAGUAGGAAAAAAAUCAAUAGGAGAAUUCCAUUUUCCUUCCCUCAUUUAUCGGAGAGCUCUCUUUGGGCAUUCCAAAAAGGUAUCACAUGCCAAGUUUGGCCUCACGGUCUAAAAGUUAUAGAGUAAUACAUUUUUAACAAAACAAAAAAGAAAAAAACCGAAAACAAAGAGGGAUGCAACACGAAGACUUUCCUGGAGGUCACCCAUCCUAGUACUACUCUCGCCCAAGCACACUUAACUGCGGUGUUCUGAUAGGAUCAAGUGCAUUAGUGCUGGUAUGAUCGCAUCAGUUACUACAUGCAAUGCAAUCAUAUAUAUUCUUUUUUGAAGACUUUAUGAUCCAUUUGCCGUAGGUCCCACCAGCUAUGUAGGAAUACCCUAUCUUGUUUAUAAGAGCUUUGAUACAUGCAAAAUAUACGAAAACAAUGUCCGAACAUAUAAUUUUUGUCCCGUAAUAUAGCAAAAAGGCCAGAAAAAAUACAUUUCGGUCAAAAUUUGGAGUAGAAAAAAAACCCUUCCUCAUUCAUUGGACAGCUCUCUUUGGGCUUUCCGAAAAGGUAUCACAUGCCAAGUUUGGCCUCACGGUCUAAACCUUAUAGGCUCAUACAUUUUUCACAAAAAAAAGAAAAGAAAAACCAAAAAAAAGAGUGAUUAAACACGAGGACUUUCCGGGAGGUCACCCAUCCUAGUACUACUCUCGCCGAAGCACGCUUAACUGCGAAGUUCUGAUGGGAUCUGGUGCAUUAGUGCUGGUAUGAUCGCAUCUGUUACUACAUGCAAUGCAAUCGUAUCUAUUCUUUUUUGAAGAUUUUAUGAUUCAUUUACCGUGGGUCCCACCAGCUAUGUAGGAAUAACCUAUCUUAUUUAUAAAAGCUUUGAUACAUGCAAAAUAUUCGAAAACAAUGUCCGAACAUAUAAUGUUCGCCCCAAAAUAUAGCAAAGACCACAAAAAUGCCAUAAAAAGUACAUUAAGGUCAAAAUUUGGAGUAGGAAAAAAAUCAAUAGGAGAAUUCCAUUUUCCUUCCCUCAUUCAUCGGAGAGCUCUCUUUGGGCAUUCCAAAAAGGUAUCACAUGCCAAGUUUGGCCUCACGGUCUAANAGUUAUAGAGUAAUACAUUUUUAACAAAAAAAAAAGAAAAAAACCGAAAACAAAGAGGGAUGCAACACGAAGACUUUCCUGGAGGUCACCCAUCCUAGUACUACUCUCGCCCAAGUACACUUAACUGCGGUGUUCUGAUAGGAUCAAGUGCAUUAGUGCUGGUAUGAUCGCAUCAGUUACUACAUGCAAUGCAAUCAUAUAUAUUCUUUUUUGAAGACUUUAUGAUCCAUUUGCCGUAGGUCCCACCAGCUAUGUAGGAAUACCCUAUCUUGUUUAUAAGAGCUUUGAUACAUGCAAAAUAUUCGAAAACAAUGUCCGAACAUAUAAUUUUUGUCCCGUAAUAUAGCAAAGAUCACGAAAAGGCCAGAAAAAAUACAUUUCGGUCAAAAUUUGGAGUAGAAAAAAAGCCCUUCCUCAUUCAUUGGACAGCUCUCUUUGGGCUUUCCGAAAAGGUAUCACAUGCCAAGUUUGGCCUCACGGUCUAAACCUUAUAGACUCAUACAUUUUUCACAAAAAAAAGAAGAGAAAAACCAAAAAAAAGAGUGAUUAAACACGAGGAUUUUCCUGGAGGUCACCCAUCCUAGUACUACUCUCGCCCAAGCACGCUUAACUGCGAANNNNNNNNNNNNNNNNNNNNNNNNNNNNNNNNNNNNNNNNNNNNNNNNNNGUGUUACUACAUGCAAUGUAAUCGUAUCUAUUCUUUUUUAAAGACUUUAUGAUCCAUUUGCCGUGGGUCCCACCAGCUAUGUAGGAAUAUCCUAUAUUCUUUAUAAGAGCUUUGAUACAUGCAAAAUAUUCGAAAACAAUGUCCGAACAUAUAAUUUCCCCCCCGUAAUAUAGCAAAGAUCACGAAAAGGCCCAAAAAAGUACAUUAAGUUUAAAAUUUGGAGUAGAAAAAAAACCAAUAGAAAAAUUCCAUUUUCCUUCCUCAGUCAUCGAAGAGCUCUCUUUGGGCUUUCUGAAAAGGUAUCACAUGCCAAGUUUGGCCUCACGGUCUAAAAGUUAUAGAGUCAUACAUUUUUAACAAAACAAAAAGAGAAAAACCGAAAAAAACAGGGAUGCAACACGAGGACUUUCCUGGAGGUCUCCCAUCCUAGUACUACUCUCGCCCAAGCACCCUUAACUGCGUAGUUCUGAUGGGAUCCGAUGCAUUAGUGCUGGUAUGAUCGCAUCUGUUACUACAUGCAAUGUAAUCGUAUCUAUUCUUUUUUAAAGACNUUUAUGAUCCAUUUGCCGUGGGUCCCACCAGCUAUGUAGGAAUACCCUAUCUUCUUAAUAAGAGCCUUGAUAAAUGCAAAAUAUUGGAAAACAAUGUCCGAACAUAUAAUGCCCCCCCCCCCGUAAUAUAGCAAAGAUCACGAAAAUGCCCAAAAAAGUACAUUUAGGUCAAAAUUUGAGUAGAAAAAAAAACAAUAGAAGAAUUCCAUUUUCCUUCCUCAUUUAUCGGAGAGCUCUCUUUGGGCUUUCCGAAAAGGUAUCACAUGACAAGUUUGGCCUCACGGUCUAAAAGAUAUAGAGUCAUACAUUAUUAACAAAACAAAAUAGAGAAAAACCGAAAAAAAAGAGGGAUGCAACGCGAGGACUUUCCGGGAGGUAAUCUAUCCUAGUACUACUCUCGCCCAAGCACCCUUACCUGCGGAGUUCUGAUGGGAUCCGGUGCAGUAGUGCUGGUAUGAUCGCAUGUGUUACUACAUGCAAUGCAAUCAUAUAUAUUCUUUUUUGAAGACUUUAUGAUCCAUUUGCCGUAGGUCCCACCAGCUAUGUAGGAAUACCCUAUCUUGUUUAUAAGAGCUUUGAUACAUGCAAAAUAUUCGAAAACAAUGUCCGAACAUAUAAUUUUUGUCCCGUAAUAUAGCAAAGAUCACGAAAAGGCCAGAAAAAAUACAUUUCGGUCAAAAUUUGGAGUAGAAAAAAACCCCUUCCUCAUUCAUUGGACAGCUCUCUUUGGGCUUUCCGAAAAGGUAUCACAUGCCAAGUUUGGUCUCACGGUUUAAAAGUUAUAGAGUCAUACAUUUUUCACAAAAAAAAGAAGAGAAAAAACAAAAAAAAGAGUGAUGAAACACGAGGACUUUCCUAGAGGUCACCCAUCCUAGUACUACUCUCGCCCAAGCACGCGUAACUGCGAAGUUCUGAUGGGAUCUGGUGCAUUAGUGCUGGUAUGAUCGCAUCUGUUACUACAUGCAAUGCAAUCGUAUCUAUUCUUUUUUGAAGAUUUUAUGAUCCAUUUGCAGUGGGUCCCACCAGCUAUGUAGGAAUACCCUAUCUUGUUUAUAAGAGCUUUGAUACAUGCAAAAUCUUCGAAAACAAUGUCCGAACAUAUAAUUUUCGCCCCGUAAUAUAGCAAAGAUCACGAAAAUGCCAAAAUAGUACAUUAAGGUCAAAAUUUGGAGUAGGAAAAAAAACCCUUCAUCAUUCAUUGGAGAGCUCUCUCUGGGCUUUCCGAAAAGGUAUCACAUGCCAAGUUUGGCCUCACGGUCUAAAAGUUAUAAAGUCAUACAUUUUUAACAAAAAAAAAAGAGAAAAACCGAAAAAAAGAGUUAUGUAACACGAGGACUUUCCUGGAGGUCACCCGUCCUAGUACUACUCUCGCCCAAACACGCUUAACUGUGGUGUUCUGAUAGGAUCAAGUGCAUUAGUGCUGGUAUGAUCGCAUCAGUUACUACAUGCAAUGCAAUCAUAUAUAUUCUUUUUUGAAAACUUUAUGAUCCAUUUGCCGUAGGUCCCACCAGCUAUGUCGGAAUACCCUAUCUUGUUUAUAAGAGCUUUGAUACAUGCAAAAUAUUCGAAAACAAUGUCCGAACAUAUAAUUUUUGUCCCGUAAUAUAGCAAAGAUCACGAAAAGGCCAAAAAAAAUACAUUUCGGUCAAAAUUUGGAGUAGAAAAAAACCCCUUCCUCAUUCAUUCGACAACUCUCUUUGGGCUUUCCGAAAAGGUAUCACAUGCCAAGUUUGGUCUCACGGUCUAAAAGUUAUAGAGUCAUACAUUUUUCACAAAAAAAAGAAGAGAAAAAACCAAAAAAAGAGUGAUGAAACACGAGGACUUUCCUGGAGGUCACUCAUGCUAGUACUACUCUCGCCCAAGCACGCUUAACUGCGAAGUUCUGAUGGGAUCUGGUGCAUUGGUGAUGGUAUGAUCGCAUCUGUUACUACAUGCAAUGCAAUCGUAUCUAUUUUUUUUUGAAGAUUUUAUGAUCCAUUUGCAGUGUGUCCCACCAGCUAUGUAGGAAUACCCUAUCUUGUUUAUAAGAGCUUUGAUACAUGCAAAAUAUUCGAAAACAAUGUCCGAACAUAUAAUUUUUGUCCCGUAAUAUAGCAAAGAUCACGAAAAGACCAGAAAAAAUACAUUUCGGUCAAAAUUUGGAGUAGAAAAAAAACCCUUCCUCAUUCAUUGGACAGCUCUCUUUGGGCUUUCCGAAAAGGUAUCACAUGCCAAGUUUGGUCUCACGGUUUAAAAGUUAUAGAGUCAUACAUUUUUCACAAAAAAAAGAAGAGAAAAAACAAAAAAAAGAGUGAUGAACCACGAGGACUUUCCUGGAGGUCACCCAUCCUAGUACUACUCUCGCCCAAGCACGCGUAACUGCGAAGUUCUGAUGGGAUCUGGUGCAUUAGUGCUGGUAUGAUCACAUCUGUUACUACAUGCAAUGCAAUCGUAUCUAUUCUUUUUUGAAGAUUUUAUGAUCCAUUUGCAGUGGGUCCCACCAGCUAUGUAGGAAUACCCUAUCUUGUUUAUAAGAGCUUUGAUACAUGCAAAAUCUUCGAAAACAAUGUCCGAACAUAUAAUUUUCGCCCCGUAAUAUAGCAAAGAUCACGAAAAUGCCAAAAUAGUACAUUUAGGUCAAAAUUUGGAGUAGGAAAAAAAAACCUUCAUCAUUCAUUGGAUAGCUCUCUCUGGGCUUUUCGAAAAGGUAUCACAUGCCAAGUUUGGCCUCACGGUCUAAAAGUUAUAAAGUCAUACAUUUUUAACAAAAAAAAAAGAGAAAAACCGAAAAAAAGAGUUAUGAACCACGAGGACUUUCCUGGAGGUCACCCGUCCUAGUACUACUCUCGCCCAAACACGCUUAACUGCGGUGUUCUGAUAGGAUCAAGUGCAUUAGUGCUGGUAUGAUCGCAUCAGUUACUACAUGCAAUGCAAUCAUAUAUAUUCUUUUUUGAAGACUUUAUGAUCCAUUUGCCGUAGGUCCCACCAGCUAUGUAGGAAUACCCUAUCUUGUUUAUAAGAGCUUUGAUACAUGCAAAAUAUUCGAAAACAAUGUCCGAACAUAUAAUUUUUGUCCCGUAAUAUAGCAAAGAUCACGAAAAGGCCAAAAAAAAUACAUUUCGGUCAAAAUUUGGAGUAGAAAAAAACCCCUUCCUCAUUCAUUGGACAGCUCUCUUUGGGCUUUCCGAAAAGGUAUCACAUGCCAAGUUUGGUCUCACGGUCUAAAAGUUAUAGAGUCAUACAUUUUUCAGAAAAAAAAGAAGAGAAAAAACCAAAAAAAGAGUGAUGAAACACGAGGACUUUCUUGGAGGCCACCCAUCCUAGUACUACUCUCGCCCAAGCACGCUUAACUGCGAAGUUCUGAUGGGAUCUGGUGCAUUAGUGAUGGUAUGAUCGCAUCUGUUACUACAUGCAAUGCAAUCGUAUCUAUUCUUUUUUGAAGAUUUUAUGAUCCAUUUGCAGUGGGUCCCACCAGCUAUGUAGGAAUACCCUAUCUUGUUUAUAAGAGCUUUGAUACAUGCAAAAUAUUCGAAAACAAUGUCCGAACAUAUAAUUUUCGCCCCGUAAUAUAGCAAAGAUCACGAAAAUGCCGAAAUAGUACAUUAAGGUCAAAAUUUGGAGUAGGAAAAAAAAACCUUCCUCAUUCAUUGGAGAGCUCUCUUUGGGUUUUCCGAAAAGGUAUCACAUGCCAAGUUUGGCCUCACGGUCUAAAAGUUAUAAAGUCAUACAUUUUUAACAAAAAAAAAAAGAGAAAAACCGAAAAAAAGAGUUAUGCAACACGAGGACUUUCCUGGAGGUCACCCGUCCUAGUACUACUCUCGCCCAAACACGCUUAACUACGGUGUUCUGAUAGGAUCAAGUGCAUUAGUGCUGGUAUGAUCGCAUCAGUUACUACAUGCAAUGCAAUCAUAUAUAUUCUUUUUUGAAGACUUCAUGAUCCAUUUGCCGUAGGUCCCACCAGCUAUGUAGGAAUACCCUAUCUUGUUUAUAAGAGCUUUGAUACAUGCAAAAUAUUCGAAAACAAUGUCCGAACAUAUAAUUUUUGUCCCGUAAUAUAGCAAAGAUCACGAAAAGGCCAGAAAAAAUAAAUUUCGGUCAAAAUUUAGAGUAGAAAAAAACCCCUUCCUCAUUCAUUGGACAACUCUCUUUGGGCUUUCCGAAAAGGUAUCACAUGCCAAGUUUGGCCUCACGGUCUAAAAGUUAUAGAGUCAUACAUUUUUCACAAAAAAAAGAAGAGAAAAACCAAAAAAAAGAGUGAUGAAACACGAGGACUUUCCUGGAGGUCACCCAUCCUAGUACUACUCUCGCCCAAGCACGCUUAACGGCGGUGUUCUGAUAGGAUCAAUUACAUUUGUGCUGGUAUGAUCGCAUCAGUUACUACAUGCAAUGCGAUCAUAUAUAUUCUUUUUUGAAGACUUUACAAUCCAUUUGUCGUAGGUCCCACCAGCUAUGUAGGAAUCCCCUAUCUUGUUUAUAAGAGCUUUGAUACAUGCAAAAUAUUCGAAAACAAUGUUCGAACAUAUAAUUUUUCGCCCCGUAAUAUAGCAAAGAUCACGAAAAGGCCAGAAAAAGUACAUUUAGGUCAAAAUUUGGAGUAGAAAAAACCCCCCCUUCCUCAUUCAUUGGAGAGCUCUCUUUGGGCUUUCCGGAAAGGUAUCACAUGCCAAGUUUGGCCUCACGGUCUAAACCUUAUAGACUCAUACAUUUUUAACAAAAAAAAGAAGAGAAAAAACGAAAAAAAGAAGGAUACAACACGAGGACUUUCCGAGAGGUUACCCAUCUUCGUACUACUCUCGCACAAGUACGCUUAACUGCGGAGUUCUGAUGGGAUCUGGUGCAUUAGUGCUGGUAUGAUCGCAUCUGUUAUUACAUGCAAUGCAAUCGUAUCUAUUCUUUUUUCAAGACUUUAUGAUCCAUUUGCCGUGGGUCCCACCAGCUACGUAGGAAUACCCUAUCUUGUUUAUAAGAGCUUUGAUACAUGCAAAAUAUUCGAAAACAAUGUCCGAACAUAUAAUUUUCGUCCCGUAAUAUAGCAAAGAUCACAAAAAGGCCAGAAAGAGUACAUUUACGUCAAAAUUUGGAUAGAAAAAAAACAAAUAGAAGAAUUCCAUUUUGACUUCCUCAUUCAUCGGAAAGCUCUCUUUGGGCUUUCCGAAAAGGUAUCACAUGCCAAGUUUGGAAUCACGGUUUAAAAGUUAUAGAGUCAUACAUUUUUAACAAAAAAUAAAGAGAAAACCCGAAAAAUGAGGGAUGCAACACGAGGACUUUUCGGGAGGUCACCCAUCGUAGUACUACUCUCGCCCAAGCACGCUUAACUGUAGAGUUCUGAUGGGAUCCGGUUCAUUAUUGCUGGUAUGAUCGCAUCCGUUACUACAUGCAAUGCAAUCGUAUCUAUUCUUUUUUGAAGACUUUAUGAUCCAUUUGCCGUGGGUCCCACCAGCUAUGUUGGAAUACCCUAUCUUGUUUAUAAGAGCUUUGUUACAUGCAAAAUAUUCGAAAACAAUGUCCGAACAUAUAAUAUUUGCCCCGUAAUAUAGCAAAGAUCACGAAAAGGCCAGAAAACCUAUAUUAAGUUCAAAAUUUGGAGUAGAAAAAAACCAAUAGAAGAAUUCCAUUUUCCUUCCUCACUCAUCGGAGAGCUCUCUUUGGGGCUUUCCGAAAAGGUAUCACAUGCAAAGUUUGGCCUCACAGGCUAAAAGUUAUAGAGUCGUACAUUUUUAACAAAAAAAAAAAGAGAAAAGCCGAAAAAAAGAAGGAUGCAACACAAGGACUUUCCGGGAGGUCAGCCAUCCUAAUAUUACUCUCGCCCAAGCACGCUUAACUGUAGAGUUCUGAUGGGAUCCGGUGCAUUAGUGCUGGUAUGAUCGCAUCUGUUACUACAUGCAAUGCAAUCGUAUCUAUUCUUUUUUUAAGACUUUAUGAUCCAUUUACCGUGGGUCCCACCAGCUACGUAGGAAUAACCUAUCUUAUUUAUAAGAGCUUUGAUACAUGCAAAAUAUUCGAAAACAAUGUCCGAACAUAUAAUUUUCGUCCCGUAAUAUAGCAAAGAUCACAAAAAGGCCAGAAAGAGUACAUUAAGGUCAAAAUUUUGGAGUAGAAAAAAAAACCCUUCCUCAUUCAUUAAAGAGCUCUCUUUGGCAUUUCCGAAAAGGUGUCACAUGCCAAGUUCGGCCUCACGGUCUAAAAGUUAUAGAGUCAUACAUUGUUAACAAAAAAAAAGAGAAAAACCGAUUAAAAGAGUUAUGCAACACAAGGACUUUCCUGGAGGUCACCCGUCCUAGUACUACUCUCGCCCAAGCACGCUUAAAUGCGGAGUUCUGAUGGGAUCCGGUCCAUGAGUGGUGGUAUGAUCACAUCCGUUACUACAUGCAAUGCAAUCGUAUCUAUUAUUUUUUGAAGACUUUAUGAUCCAUUUGCCGUGGGUCCCACCAGCUAUGUAGGAAUACCCUAUCUUGUUUAUAAGAGCUUUGAUACAUCCAAAAUAUUCGAAAACAAUGUUGGAACGUAUAAGUUUCGCUCAGUAAUAUAGCAAAGAUCACGAAAAGGCCACAAAAAGUACAUUAAGGUAAAAAUUUAGAGUAGGAAAAAAAAACAAUAGGAGAAUUCCAUGUUCCUUCCUCAAUCAUCGGAGAGCUCUCUUUGGGCUUUCCAAAAAGGUAUCACAUGCCAAGUUUGGCCUCACGGUCUAAAAGUUAUAGAGUCAUACAUUUUUAACAAAAAAAAAUAGAGAAAAACCAAAAAAAAGAGGGAUGCAACACGAAGACUUUCCUGGAGGUCACCCAUCCUAGUACUACUCUCGCCCAAGCACGCUUAACUGCGGUGUUCUGAUAGGAUCAAGUGCAUUAGUGCUGGUAGGAUCGCAUUCGUUACUACAUGCAAUGCAAUUAUAUAUAUUCUUUUUUGAAGACUUUAUGAUCCAUUUGCGGUAGGUCCCACCAGCUAUGUAGGAAUACCCUAUCUUGCUUAUAAGAGUUUUGAUACAUGCAAAAAUAUUCGAAAACAAUGUCCGAACAUAUAAUUUUUGUCCCGUAAUAUAACAAAGAUCACGAAAAGGCCAAAAAUAGUACAUUUCGGUCAAAACAUGGAGCAGAAAAAAAACCCCUUCCUCAUUCAUCGGAGAGCUCUCAUUGGGCUUUCCGAAAAGAUAUCACAUGCAAAGUUUGGCCUCACGGUUUAAAAGUUAUAGAGUCAAAUAUUUUUAACAAAAAAAAGAGAGAAAAACCGAAAACAAAGAGGGAUGCAACACGAGGACUUUCCGGAAGGUCACCCAUCCUAGUACUACUCUAGCCCAAGCACGCUUAACCGCGGAGUUCUGAUAGGAUCCGGUGCAUUAGUGCUGGUAUGAUCGCAUCAGUUACUACAUGCAAUGCAAUCAUAUAUAUUUUUUUUGAAGACUUUAUGAUCCAUUUGCCGUGGGUCCCACCAGCUAUGUAGGAAUACCUAUCUUGUUUAUAAGAGCUUUGAUACAUGCAAAAUAUUUGAAAACAAUGUCCGAACGUAUAAUCUUCGUCCCGUAAUAUAGCAAAGAUCACGAAAAGGCCAGAAAAAGUACAUUAAGGUCAAAAUUUUGACUAGAAAAAAAAAACAAUAGAAAAAUUCCAUUGUCCUUCCUCAUUCAUCGGAGAGUUCUCUUUGGGCUUUCCGAAAAGGUAUCACAUGCCAAGUUUGGCCUCACGGUCUAAAACUUAUAGAAUCAUACAUUCUUAACAAAAAAAAAAAAAAAACCGAAAAAAAGAAGAAUGCAACACAAGGACUUUCCAGGAGGUCAACCAUCCUAGUAGUACUCUCGCCCAAUCACGCUUAACUGCAGAGUUCUGAUGGGAUCCGGUGCAUUAGUGCUGGUAUGAUCGCAUC
Molecule: long non-coding RNA, 48459 nt
Filed under: Arabidopsis thaliana (thale cress)
Lineage: Eukaryota; Viridiplantae; Streptophyta; Magnoliopsida; Brassicales; Brassicaceae
Description: long non-coding RNA (ATHA_LNC000153)
Source: RNAcentral